Molecule: long non-coding RNA, 57786 nt
Filed under: Coffea arabica (coffee)
Lineage: Eukaryota; Viridiplantae; Streptophyta; Magnoliopsida; Gentianales; Rubiaceae
Description: long non-coding RNA (CARA_LNC000642)
Source: RNAcentral
CCUUGGAAUGCUUCCGGUGAAGUUAUUGCUGUUGAGGUUGAUGUGUCCCAAGCUUGGGUAAUUCAUCCAACAGUCAGGAAUUUCUCCUGAUAGAGAAUUCUCCCGAAGAUCCAGAUACAAAAGAAAUUGAUUUUCAUUCUUCACUUCACACAAAAUGUGAGAGAUGCCUCCUGAAAAUCAAUAGUUGGAAAUUAAGUUCUAAAUAUGUCAAUCAAUGAUAAAUUAAUUGGGUGUGUAAGCAAUUGAAUAUCUUUGAUUGUUGUGUGCAUAUAAAUCUUUUAACAGUUUUAGAGAUAUUUGAACUUUUACUAUAAAAUUAAUUGUGAGAAAUGAUGGGUUGAAUAAUCAAGAGGGAAUAGCCAUUGAAUGUGUUUGACUAUAAUGCACAUAUAAACCUUUAACAAUUCAGAGACAUUUGAACUCUUACCCUGGAGUUGAUUGUGAGAAAGGUCUAUGGUUUGCAAUGAUGAAUUGAACAACCAAGGUGGAAUGGUAUCUGAAAUUCCUGUGAAGGACAAGUUCAAAUCCUGAAGGAAUUUUUGUGAUCUGAUCCAUGUAGGAAAUUGGGGAUCCAGCUUCCAUGAACUCAAUCCAAGUACAUAAAAUUGGACAUGAGGAGUCCAACUUGCACUUACUUUUAAGGUCAAGGAGUUUCCAGAUGCAUAAAAAAUCCUUAAAGCUGUCAGAUUGUCCAGGUGGCUCUCACUCACAAUACCUUCUAUUAAAUUAUCAGCAAUACCAAGCUCUUCAAGUUUGGAAAGUUGCCAAAGACUUUCAGGAAGAGUUCCAGUGAGUUUGUUCUGAGAUACAUCCAAGUGCUCCAAGGAUGACAGUUUUCCUAAAUUUGAUGGAAUUGAGCCAGAUAGAGCAUUAUCAUAUAGCCAAAGGUAUUCUAGUUUGGUACAGCUUCCUAAAUUUGAUGGAAUUGAACCAGAUAGAGCAUUAUCAUUUAGCCAAAGUAGUUUGAGCUUGGUACAGUUGCCAACUGUGCUUGGAAUUGAACCAUUUAAGUGAUUACCGCUUGCACCAAGUGUAAUCAAGUCCUUCAAUGUGAAUACUUCACUUGGUAAAGAGGAGCCAAGGUUGUUAUAAGACAGACGAAGAUAUUGAAGGUUGGAAAUGUUGGCAAUAGAGCUUGGGAUAGAACCUCGAAAGUGAUUGGAGCCAAGAUUUAGUGAAAUUAGGGCAGGUAAAGUGGAUAAUUGGCUUGGGAGGAAGGUAGCGAAGUUAUUCACUGAACUCCAAUUCCAAAUUCCAUCCAAAGAGCCUUCGAAUUGAUUCCCCCCAAGGUUGAGAGAAAUGAGGUUGUUAAGAUGAACAAGCUCAUCUGGCAGUGAACCAUUCAGAUGGUUGAAAGAAAGAUCCAAGUGCUUGAGGGCAGUCAAGUUCCACAGAUCUCUGGGCAAUGGGCCUUCAAACGAGUUCUCACUUAAAUCAAGGGAAGCAAGGGCAGUAAGACCGAAAAUCCAUCUAGGGAUGAGGUGUUCAAGAAAAUUUCCAGAAAGAUCUAGGACAGUAAGAGAAGAAAAGUUGGCAUGGAAGACAAAUGUAUCUCUGUCAAGAUGAUGAGAAAUUAAAUCAAGUUGACAAUAGCGCAGAUGUAUCUCUACCAAGGAAGGGACCGUGUUAAUCACCUCUAGCCAAUUAGACGCCGUACUAAGGUUCACGCGACUCAUAUCUAGGUGCUCCAGAUUAGAGAGACCAACCAACCAUUGCAGGUUAUCAACUUGAAGAUCGGACAGCGGCCCAAAUUCUGCGCCAACACUUAAAGUGCGUAAACUUGAUAGGUUUCCAAGCUGAUAGGGAACCGUUCCUUGAAAUCCAGCUCCAGAUAAAUUCAGGUACCUUAGACUUCUGAGAGACCCAAAAAAACUGGGAAUUGGAAUUCCACUGAAAUCAUUUAGACUUAGAUCAAGGUAACGCAAGUGAGUCAAAUUUUGUAACGAAUGACUGAUUUUACCGCUUAAUGGUGAUGUUUCCUCAUCACCAAAAUCAUCAAUUUCAGGAUCAGGACUCUGAAGGUGAAGUUGAAUCACGCGGCCACUUCGGUUGCUACAAACAACUCCUUCCCAUUCGCAGCAAUCAACGUCGUGAAUCCAAGACGAGAGUCUACCAGAGGGAUCUUUCAAGUCUUUCUUGAAGUCCAUAAGAGCUUGUUUCUCACUUGCAUAGCAAGUUGCAUUUACAGUUUUGCUGGAAGAACAGAGUAAAAUUAUUGCGACGAGUAAGAAAACAGAGAAAUGGGUUGAUCCACCCAUGGUCAUGUGAAAUGUCGGCAGAUAUACAUUGCAGUACUUCGGCUAUGUUGCAGGUAGAUAUAUAGAGCUGGCUGGCAGUGGUCGUCAAAUUAUGGUGGAAGAAAUGCACAGUUGAUAUAAAGCUUCACUGUUGACGUGGCUGUCCAUAUCAGGCUUGGAAAGCAUAUUUCACUUUUGCUGCGUUUACAUUGACAAGUCAACAAUGGAAGACUCAGGAAUCCUGAUUUCGAAAAGAAUUUAUUUAAAAUUCUCCCUAUAAUUUUAGUUGUUAUCCCCCUAAACAAAAUUAUUUUUUUCGUUACUUUGUUUAAUUUCUUUUGAUAAAGUGUCAUAUAUCAAACUAACAAUUAGUUUCCUUAUAAAAGUAUACCAUUCAUAUCUACAUUACUAUACAGUUAGUAUUAUUUUUGAAUAAAAAUUAUAAAAAUAUAAAGUUUUCUUUUCUCCGAGUUUCUUAUGACAAACCAACUCUUAGUCUCUUUGAUAACUACAAUUUUACAAUAGAAACUAAGGUAAUACUGUAUAUGUUACAUAGGAAAUCAAAGACAAAGAAAAGAAAAAAAAAAUAUUCUAGCUAUCAUACAGAUUAAAGAAGUUUCAACUGUGAUUUUGAAUACCUUACACUGACAGUAAAUAGAAUGGUAGAGAGUUUAAUUUUCACAUUUUUCUUUAUACAUUGUUUUUAUUUCAUUUUUUUAAAUUUCUUGCUUCUAAUUAUAAUCUAUUGUGCUUUCAUUUUGUUUUUGAUAUGCUUUAUUUGCUAUAAUAUCAUUGAUGAUUCGUUCCCACUAAAGUAAAAGCUCGAAUUCGUCACUGAUGCUUAUGCAUAUUUUUAAGGGUAAAUACAUCAACAUAACCUACAUAUGAAGACGAUUAAACAUAAGAAAUUUAAUAAUUCUGUUGAUUUAAAUCUACAUAUAAGAUUGUUAUACAAGUCAUUGAAAAUAGUUUAUUGAAACUUUUUAGUAUAGAUGAAAGCCGUCAAAGGUUAUCAAAUAUAUAUGUGUCUUUAAAAAAAAAUACAAAGAAGAAGGCGUCAGGGAAACACCUACAUGCUAGUGAAGAAAAUCAUAUUAAAAUUGUUUUAAAGAAGCCAAAAAUACACUAGAAAUAAGUGGUACUCUUACACAUUGGCGGCUGACGGGAUGCUGUCUCGUCUUUCAAGCAAAGACAUAAUACUUCACCGAAGUAAAGAAAUAUCUGAUUGAAGCCUCAGAGAGACUUUGAAAAGAAUCUUUGGAAAGAGUAAUUCACUUUUGCUCGGUUACAUUGACAAGUCAACAAUGAAAACCAUUGAAAACUCAAGUUUGAUUUCUCAUUUAUGAUUUUAGGCCAUGAUGUAAUAGGUCUAGGCAUUAAUUCGAGUGGAAUUUGAUUGGAAUCUGAUUAGGAUAAGAAUGUAUUCAUUUUUGGCCUGAGUAGCGACAAAUAAAAAGUCGUAUGACUUUUAACUAGUCUCAGUCUGAUUUUAAUAUGUAUAUUUAAUGUAAGAAGAAAUCUUCUUGUUCUCAUGCACCGCAGUAAGAACAGUAUCAGAUUGAAACUAAUGUUUCAUGGUUCGCACUUCAAAUUUUCUCCAAUAAUUGUUCCUUUUUUAUUAUGUGGUUUAGAGCUAGAAAUUGGCCCCAGAGGUUAAAAUCACUCUUUUUAAGCUCAUAUGCUAGGAUUUAACUCUUAUUGCUAUCACUAAAGCACUCAUUCAGUAAAAUUAGUAAAGCCAGAAAAUAUGAAAAAAAAAAGAAACAUUAAAGUUGCUUUGAUUAUUCCAUUUUUGUAAUUAUUCUUUAAUACAAGUUGUAAUACCAAAACAAUUUAACAGAAUCUCAUCACUUAAGCAUAGACUUUAAGCCUCUUGCCAAAAAUUCAAAAACCACCCGUUGAGAUAUUUACUCAUAUAUAUAUGCACACUGUUUUUUUCCCUCAGAAUAUUAUUUUUUAUUAUUGCAAGUAUUGCGAUUUACUUUUAUGAGAAAAUUCCGAUUUGGAUACCCAAUGUUCGAGGGAUGGAGACCAAAAUGGUCUCUUUUGCAUACACGUUAAACAAAACAAAUUUAGCAAUCAAAGUUUGGAAGGUGAAAAAAUUUGAUUCAAAUAAUAAUUCUUUUUCUUAAGGAAAUUAAAAAAAAAGGAAAUUUCUGUCUGCACAAUGUUUUCUAAGAAUCAUAGUAAUUUUUUUUUCUGCAAUGCAGAAACUUCCAUUUCAAGUUUAAAAUGGAAAAAAUACUGAAAUGGAAAAUAAAAUUGAAAGAAAUAGAUUUCAGUGCACACAAGCACAAAAGCAGUGGAAAGUGCUGAAAAUACUUGACUUUGGAAGCACAAAUAAUGCUGAUAUGUACCUUAGGCAUAAAUAUAUCAUCACAUCCUAUGUGCAAAGUAGAUUAAACAUAAGAAACAAAAUAUUUUUCUUUCUGAUCUACCUUACUUCUGCAAUUCGUAGAAUCCUUCAUAUACUUUUUUUUUUUUUUUGAAAUGUGAAGGUUUAUGAAUCUUUAAAACAUGGGCAUUUCAAUAUUAAGAAAAGAAUGAGUGCUUUUUUUUUUAAAAAAAAUAAAACUUUUAUUGAUGCAACCAACAAACGUACACAUAUCAGGUCCAACCCAUUCCUAGGAGUACAAACUUAAAAACCCUGACCAGUCCUAGCCACCCCCCACCGCUGGCGUCUUCGAAAACUUGGAAACCCGUACGCAUCCAAGGUAAUGUCCCCCCUCACCAACCUAGGCAAUGCACUAUAACCCUCAUAAAUUGUAGUACACCCAGCCUCCACUCCAACAUUAGACAACCUGUCCGUCGGCUUGUUUGCCUCCCGAAAGCAAUGAGAAACGGCUUCAAAAUACCGUCCAAAUUGCUGCAGCUCUAGUAGCUCCUUCUGCAACCGCCAAGGACACCGAACCUUCCCCUAAAUAAUACGGACCAACACCAUUGAGUUAGACUUCAGAUGCAACCUAAUUAAGCCACGGGAUACACCUCAUCGAACACCAAAGAGAAGCGCUUUCAGCUCCGCAUGAAGGCUCGUAGCCUCCCCAAAAGAACACGAGAAGCCAAGCAGGAACCUCCCAUCAGAAUCCCUGAACAAACCCCCACCACCACUCCUCCUCGGAUUACCCCUUGAACAACCAUCGGCAUUCAGUUUCACCAUCGACUGAGUCGGACAUCCCGAACGAACCUCCCGUAUGAUAACCUUGCUCCGCAACCUAGAUAUCAUCUCAAAAAAACCAAUCCGUGAAUUACAAGACAGAGAUAUCUCUCGAAACUGAAGACAGACGCAUUCUCUCAGCUCCAAGAAAAUCCGAUCACAAAUAUGCACUACCGAGUCUAGCUUACCAUAAAAAAUCCACAUAUUCCGCAUCUUCCACAAAUUCCAACAAAUUAACAAUGGCAAUGUGUGGAGAACAAAACCAAGGUAUGGAUUAAUACUAGGUUUAACCCACCAACUCAUCACCUUAUGUCUAAUCGUGAGAGCCUCACUAAACCCGCCAAUGAGACCCUCAAAGCAACCCCAAAUCUGCCUAGCCACCUCCCCUGUACAAAAAAUGUGGCUAAUAGUUUUUGGGGAUGGUCUCAGAGAACAACAAAAGCUCUUAGAAGGGCCCAGAAACCCAAACUUGUGUAACACAUCCAUCAGCGGCAACCUACCAUACAUCAAUCAUAGCAUGAAGAAGGAAAUCUUGGAUGGUAGGGCCUGAUGCCACAAGGAAGCAAACAGACUGGAAACGUUACCUCCUUGACGCACUAUCUGAUAUGCCGACGCAAUAAUAAACUCACCUGAAUUAGUGGGGGCCCAGAACAUUUCAUCUACCGCCACCGCUGUAGGGGGAGCCACCCCCAGCACCCGCGACACCCAUUCUGAUGGUAACACCCUACUUAAGCCUUGCAAAUUUCACCUGUCUUCCACGACAAAGUCUGCAACCGAGCGCUCCUGAAAUGAGUCCACCUGCCUACUUAAGCUUUUGGCAUCCUUCAUAUACUAAUAAAAGUAUUUUGACUAACUUUUCCUCAUUUCUUCAUAUUUUAUAAAUGUUCGUCCAAUGAAAAGUUUGAAGAUAAUUACGUUUAUUAUGAAAAUCUUUGAAUGAGGGGCUGAGUAAUUUUGUUAUUAUUCUAAAGUUGAACUAUUCAUUUGUUCAUUUAUUUGCAAAUGAGGAUGUAGGUUGCAAAGGCGCACAACUUAAUAUUUUUAGGCUAGACACAAGAAUCAGCGAUAUUUACGCUAUGUCCUUCCCCUAUUCAAAUUGACGGCUAAUAGGGUACUGUAUUGACAAAGGACCAAGACCUCAAAUUUUCUAGCAGACACAAAAGGACCAAGACCUCAAGAUCUCAAAUUUUCUAGUAAAUAAAGAGAGUUCACUAAACUGGAGAAAUAUUUGAUUUAAAUUCUUUACGUGUAGAAUGUGCAAAUUUUAUUAGUAGUCACAAUCAGAACUAUGCCAAAUAUGUCAAAUUAACAAAGUUGAUGGGAAUGCUUUGACUUUGUCAUAUAUAUAUAUAUUAAGGGAAGACGAGAUUUAAGGAGUGGGAAAGGAAAAAUUUGAGCACAAAAAUUCUAAAUCCCAAGAUCUUAUAAUUAUAUCUUAUGACUUCUUCAAAUUCAAAUUAAUUCAUCUCUUUUUGAGCUUCCUUCUCCUCACUUGUUUCCUCAAUGCGAUUCAUCAUGUGGUUGGUUUAUGGGAAUAAAAAUUAAUGAACUACUAUAAUUUGGAGAGCUAUUUUUGAAUCAAUUUUUACUAUAAUUUGACUUAAGAAGGGUAAUUUUCCUGUUUGGAUUGCAUUUUUCUGGAUUUUUUGUAGAAAAUUACUGUAGCGAUUUGAUAUAUGUGAGGUAAAAAAUUGAUAGGAAAAUGUGUUCACAAAAAAUGUGGUAAUUUUUCUGAGAAAAAUCGCAAUCCAAACGGGAGUAUUUUUACGAAAGAAUACUGUGCUAUUAAAAUUUGUCCUAUGGAAUAACUUCACUAGGUACUUAAACUUAUUACCAUUUUCCUGCAGCUAAAUGUUUUGUGCACUGAAAAAGUAUUAUACUAGAAAGUUGCCAGCAUUGUAUUGUUGUUUCCAAGGUUCGGGUUGUUGUCGUGCAAUAUACUAGCUAGGUAUUUAAGUAGGCUUAUGACUGUUGACCUUGAGUUCAUUUCUGUCAAGAGUAGGUUUUUCCAGUGUAGUCCUAAUUUUUAGGGUUCUCUACCGAUUAAAACUGAAGUAAAAUGUUCAUUCUUCUAAUGGAUAUGGAGUAAAAAUUGGUACCCAAUAUGUAUGUGCAUUUAGAAAUGUCAUAUUUUAGAGUUUUAAAUCUAUAACCUACCAUGAGAACUAAAAAAAAAACUGCAGUCCCAAUCCCAUCAUGGGAUUUCUGCCUUGCAUUUCCCCUUUUCCUUCUUUAUGUUUCUAUCUAUUUGUCAAUUAUCAUUGUGAACUAAAAUAUUAUGAACACCAUUGUGAGCAUUAUAUGUGUAUUUUCUAGCAAAGACAAAAGACUUAAUCGAAGUGGAGAAAUAUCUGACUGAAACUCUUUAAUGUGUAUUUUCUUCUUCUCUUGUCAAUAACUUUUUAUGUGUAGAAUGUGGAAAUUCAAAUACUAGUAAUGAUCAAGAAUAUGACUACAAGUGAAAAUUCAUUUGAUGUGGUCACAUCCUAAUUGGUUACUUUCUUAUUUGUCAUUAAAUUUUUGGAUAUCUAACACAAUGUUUGGAAAUGAUUAAAAGGAGUGAGUAAAUUAGUUUCUAAUUUUCUUUUUUGUUAAUCUUUUUUGUUCAAGGGAAAACUCCAAACCUUAUAAUGGGGAAAGGGGAAAAAGGAAGAAGUAUCAAAGGUGAAGAGGAAGGAUUUAAGAGUCAAAUAAGGAAUUUCAUAAACAACUGACUAAAUAUCCUAAAUUAGGUCUUGGGGACAAUUUUUGUUACCUUAACAAUAUCUAAAGCAUUACUUUCAAUUUAAACAUUUUUUUAUGACCUUUUAAACUUCAAUUCUUACUCCUUUGAUGGAGGAACAAAACUAAUUCCUGCCCAAAUUACUUAUGCAUAUGAUGUCAACAUAAACACAUAUAAGCAUUGUGAGUAAUUGCAAGUUAUAUCUAAGAAGAUAACUUUCAUUUCAUGAAGUAAAGGAAUAUCAUAAUUUUGCUUUAGUUUUGAAAAUUUUUUGUCCAAUAAAUUCAAAACCAAAAUUUACGUACUUCCAAAUUUAAUACCGCAUCAAGUAUUCUAUUUACACUAAUUAUCAUACGGUUACUUUUCGAUUCUGCGAACCCAUUGACAUCAUAAUCCUUCCCAUAUUACAUCGAGGGCUUAUUGGAUUUCGUACAGACUAAAGACCAAGAAGUCUAUUUCCCAGCAACCAGAUACCAAGAUUUCAAUUCUAUCGUUUCUGAAAAAAAAAAAGAUACCAAGAUUUCAAAUUUUGCAGCAAAGACGGAAGACUUUACGUGUGGAAUGUGCAAAUGCACAGGAUAGUGAUGAAUGCCUCUAGAAAACAAAUUCUCAGAAAGGUCUAUUGUUUUAAACAUAAGAAAAUUCAUAUUCUUUUAUAUUUUUUUCUCGGUCUCAGCAAUUCAUAGAAACAUUCAUACACUAACAGUAAGUUAUUUGACCUUAUUUUCUGUUCAAUUCAUAGAAACAUUCAUACACUAACGGUUUUUCUUAUUUCACCAAAUUCUUUACAUAUUUGUUCAAUGGAACGUCUGAAAAUAGUUACAUUCACUAUGAAAACCUUUUAAUAAGGGACUGAAUAAUUUUUGUUGUUAUUUUAAAGUUCAAGAAGUGUGAUUUAGUCGCAUAUUAGCAUUUAGGAAGCAAAGGUCCACAAGUUAAUACUCCAGUCUAAUGACGCCAAUGACUAAUGGGAUGCCGUGUAGACAACGGACCGAGACCUCAAAUUUUCCAGCAAAGCAAAGGACCACGACUCUCAAGACCUCAAAUUUUCCAGCAAAGAAAGGGACUUCACAAAAUUGGAGAAGUAUUUGGUUUAAAGUCUUUACGUGUGGAAUAUGUACAAAUUUUAUUCGUAGUCAUGAUCUAGACUAUGACAAAUAUGUGAAAUUAGACAAAGUUGAUGGGAAUGCUUUGACUUUUUCAUACAUAAUUAUAUCUUAUUAAAUCUUCUAUUUCUUAUUUCAUCUCUUUUGAAACUUUUCUUAUGCUAAACUUGUUUGGCUUUAGGUCUUAUAUUGCACUUUUUCAUGUUACAUUUUAGGGUAAAAUAUCAAAAAAUUUCUUGUGGUUUGUCAAAUAUACGGUGUAGGUUUCCAAAUUAGAGAGAGUUAAAUUGUACAUUUAACAAACUACAGGAAGUGUUUUGGUAUUUUACCCUACACUUUAUUAUACAACUUCUUAAAGUGACAUAUGUCCCAUGAAUGGGGAUAUUUUAAAUAACUUGGAUUGUUACUUAUUAUUACAUAGGACAUAUCAUUCUGAUGGAUAGUAUAACAAAAAUAUAACAGAAAAAGUUGUCAUAGAGGAUCUUGUGCUGCCCAAUAGGGCUUUCCUCUAAUGUAGGAUAGCAUAGAAUUAGUGCAGUUGCCAUUGAUUGAUAAAAGACUCAGUAGAGAAGAUUGUACUGCUUUGACUCAUUCAUUAUUGUUUUGUAAUUUUUUUUGGGACAGUGCUUCCGCAUCGAGAGUUACUAUCAAUGGCAGAGGGGAGCAACUAUCCUUUGGGGAUAUAUUCUUGGAGAUUCGAUCGGCGGAGCAACAGGUGGUAGAGGCCGAACUAGCCUAUGAUGGCAUCCCUUCCGCGGAAUUACUGAUACACCUACAUGAGGCACGAGCGCGGCUGCGCAAUGCUUUGGUAGUUGAAGAAGGGUUUUGGAAGUAGAAAGCUUGGGUCAAGUGGCUGGCGGACGGUGACCGGAAUACGGCUUUCUUCCAUUCUGUAGUGACGGAGAGGAGAAGAAAGUCGGUUAUUCAUCGAAUUCGGAGUACAAAUGGCGACUGGGUGGGCGACGAGGCAAGUAUUUGUAAUGAGGCCGUCGCUUUCUUCAGGGUUUGUUUACAGAGGAGGUAGGAAGUGUCCCCAGUGACAUGUUGGAGGUGAUUCCGAGGGUUAUUGAUGAUCAGGAUAAUAGCGGGCUGACGAAGCUCCCUUCUAUGGAUGAAGUGAAAGAGGUCGUGUUUUCGAUGGAUGGGGACAGUGCCGCAGGUCCGGAUGGACUUACAGGGAAGUUUUUCACGGCUGCUUGGGAGGUAGUUGCCGAGGAUGUUCACCGGGCUAUAGAGAGUUUCUUUUGUGGCGCGGAGUUGCCAAGAUUUGUAACUGCUACUGCCAUUGUGUUGUUGCCUAAGGUUCUCUGUCCACAGGAUUUUACACAAUUCAGACCGAUAAGUUUAUGCAACUUUGUCAAUAAGGCCAUAUCUAAGCUCUUAUCCGUCCGCCUGGCUAAGGUUCUUCCUCGGAGUAUCUCGCCGUAGCAGAGUGGUUUCGUGCCAGGACGACAAAUGCCGGACAACUUUCUGUUAGCUCAGGAGUUGUUGAGCGAUAUUAGGAAACCCAACCGGGGAGGGAAUGUUGUGCCCAAGUUGAAUAUGAUGAAGGCCUAUGACAGGGUAUCGUGGAUGUUUUUAAUACAAGUCUUUCGGCGGUUUGGGUUCAGCAAGCUGUGGAUUGAUAUGGUGUGGAGGCUGGUGUCAAAUGUGUGGUUUUCUGUCAUUGUGAACGGCUCGCCGCAGGGGUUCUUCAGGUCCACCCGAGGCUUGCGCUAGGGAGAUCCGAUAUCGCCGGCUUUGUUUGUCAUUGGAGCAGAGGUACUUUCCCGUUCUCUGAAUGCAUUGGCGGUGCAAAGGCAUUUCCACCCCUUCAAAGUUCCUAGUGGAUGCCUGGUAGUUACGCACUUGGCAUAUACAGACGAUGUGAUUAUUUUCACCAGCGGAGUCAAGGCUUCGGUGCAGUUAGUCAAGCAGGUAGUCGAUGGGUAUUGUUUUCUGUCGGGGCAGCGAGUUAAUUGUCAGAAGAGUUGCUUUUUGGUGCACCCUAGGGUGCCUCCGCAAAGACGAGCAAUGAUCAGGGCGGUUACGGGCUUCCCGCACAAGUUGUUUCCUAUCAAAUACCUUGGAUGUCCUUUGUUCAUUAGGAGGAGACGUGUGUAUUAUUUUUUCAGAUAUCUGCAGUGCGGUCACGGCUAGAAUUUUAUCAUGGAAAAAUCGGGUCCUGUCAUCUGGGGGCAAACUAGUUUUACUUAUGUAGGACCCAAAACAACCAAUGCAAAGAUCAUAAACGAAACAAUAAGUAAAUAAAAAGGAAAGGAUUGCAAACCAAUUAACUACCCAACUCCUCUUGAGCUUGUAGAUUAAUUGAAACAAGCUACUUCAAGUUGAUGAAUUACAAUCACUCUUGUGUACAAAGGAAGGUUCACCUCCUCCUUGCCCCAAGCAGCACUCGGUCAAGCCAGGACGUUUUACUAUCCCUCAGGACAACCCUCACAGAGUUACACUCAUGAAAGAUUCACUCACAAAUGAAAAGCUUACAAUGAACCUCACACCACUAAGACUACAAAUAUUCUUUUUGGAGUAUUUUCUCACUAAAAUCUCUCUAGAUCUUUUGUAUCUUUAGUGUGCCAAAGUUCUUUGAAGUAUCUGACCAACCACUAUUUAUAUAGGACCAAGAAAGAGCCUCAUUAAAGCUUCCAACGGAUAGAAAGUAGCUGAACAGUCAACUAGCCGUUGGUAGUGUCGGACGUCCGAUAGCACUGUUUUAUGCGUCCGACAGCAGGCAGUGAGUUUGAGAAAUUUUUUUCAAUUCUUUCGGACGUCCGAUAGGCUGGUUUUCUGCGUCCGAAGAUACUCAAUGGUUGUCGGACGUCCGAUGCAGUCUUUUUGAGCGUCCGACAACUUCAGCAUACUUUGUCUUCUUCCAAUUGCACUUGUUCAUGGAAUCAAAUAAUUUCAUAACUGAAAAUAUAUCUUGAAGAAAUAUUAGUAUCAUCCAUUUGUUUUGUAAACAUCAAAAGAUAGGGAUCAAGAUCAACAACUUAGAAGCGUCCUGUCCUCAAUACCGAUCCACUUGUUAGCGGCGGCAUCACCGCCGAAGGCAGUGUUUGUGUCCCUCGAGAAGGUGAUGGCAGCCUUUUUGUGGGGCUCAUCGGAGAUUGGUCCUAGGUUUUAGUGGAUAAAUUGGGCGGAGCUAUACAGGCCCCCGGAGACAGGUGGGGUCAGUUUGCGUAGUAUUGCUAAGGUGUAUGAUGCAUUCGCCAUUAAGCUUUGGUGGAAUUUUAGGCAGCAAAAGUCGUUAUGGGCGUAAUUCCUGUCUGCGAAAUAUUGUAAAGGAGGGCAUCCUUGUUUGGUAGAAGAGAUCGCUUCACAGUCCUAUACUUGGCGAAGAUUAAGGUCAAUCCAGGAUUUGGCGGAGGAGCAUAUCGACUGGGUCCUGGGUGAAGGUUCCAUGGAUUUCUGGCAUGAUAAUUGGAUGGGUAAAGGAGCGCUAUGCCAUCGGGUAGAUAUCUUUCAUGAGCAUAGGGUGGCAGAUCUCGUCUUUCAGUCACAAUGGAACUGGUGACUGCUUAGUCAGUUAUUGGCGCCGGAACUAGUGAGGCAAGUGAUGCAAGUAUCCCCUCCGGUCUCUAGAGGAGCAGAUAAGAUGGUCUGGGCUUUAACAGCUGAUGGGGCGUUCUCAGUAGCCUCGGCUUAUUCCGUUGUUACAAUGUCAGAUACUUGCUCUUGGGUAGCUUCACGUGUUUGGCUGCAGGGUUGCCCCCUCAAGAUUUCCUUCUUCAUGCUCCGGCUGUUGCGGUCGCGCCUUCCUCUGAUAGAUAUGAUACAGGGAUUUGGGGUCCAGGGGCCGUCUAGGUGUCAGUGUUGCGCUGAGCCGGGUGAGGAAGGGAUCCAGCACACCUUCUGCACGGGGGAGUUAGCAAAGGCUGUUUGGACUAGCUUUGAGGAAUAUCAGGGAGAGUUGGCUAGGGUUUCCACGGUGUGUCAUCUGGUCGUGCGAUGGUGGCUGCGCCGGGGACACAAUGAGUACCUCAAGUUCGUUUAUCGAUUACUCCCAAUGCUGAUCUGUUGGGAGUUGUGGAAAGCGAGAAACAAAGGGGUAUUUGAGAGGAGGAAAGCGGUGUGUUCGGCAGUGGUGCGUCAGGUAUUUCUACAAUUGAGUGCUUUAUUUCAUUGCCGCUUCCCAGAGAUAGAUGGCUCUUUUAGGUCAUGGGAGGCUUUUCACUUGACAUUGGUGGGUUUGAGACGAAGGGUUUCUAUUAUACAGGUGGCAUGGGUGGCUCCGACGGAAGGGUUUAAAUUGAAUUCUGAUGGAUGCUCUAGAGGGAAUCCGGGGAUUAGUGGAGGUGGAGGUGUGGUGCGUGAUAGGGAAGGGAGGUUCAUUUUCGAUUACUCUUGCUUCUUUGGGUCCUUGACGAGUGUGCAUGAGGAGCUCAGGGCAAUGCUGUUUGGGGUACGGUUAUGUGUCGCUAAGGGUUUACAUGGGUUGCAUAUCGAGUCCGACUCGCUCAGCUUGGUGCGGACUCUGCAAGGGAGUCAAAGUUGCUCGUGGCGACUCCAACAGGAGAUGUACGAGUUGCUCAGCUAUAAGCAGUACUUCACGGAGAUCACGCAUUGUUAUCGGGAGGCAAACAAGCCUGCUGAUUGCCUGGCUAACAUGGGAGCGGAGUCGGAGCAGGAGAAGGUCUUUACUAGCUUUUCCGCUUUGCCUUGUAAUGUUCGAGGGGAAUUGGCUUUGGAGCGCGUAGGGAUUCCUAAUUUUCGUAGGAGGUGGGCUCGUUGAGCGUUGUAUGCUAUCAUUUGCUUAUUAUCAAGUUCAAUAAAAAAAUAUAUAUAUAUUUUGUAUUGGACUAAAAAGCUUACUGUCAAUAUGGGUUAUUGAACAUAUUACCUUAUACAGGAUGAAUCUUUUUUUUUCCCUGAAACUGACGCUAUAUUUGAUUUAAAAUAUAUUCAAUACUUCCAUUGAAGUUAUUCAUUACAAAAAUUUUCUGUGGAAAAGAAAACUCUAUAAAAUUUAAAAAGAAAAUUUAGAUAGAGGAGUGAACAUUUUAAAAUUUUAAAGGGGAUAAUGUAGUUAUGGAAGGGAUUUUACAAAGUUGAGGAGAAGCAAAUAAGGGGCAAAACAAAAAAUAUUGUAAAAUAUAUUAUAAAGUGUAAGGGGCCUAUUAUAUAACUAGUUUUGUACCCGUUCAUUGAACGGGAAUCGUCGAAAAAUAAUAAACUAUUUAGUCAAUUUUAUAAAAAUGUCGAUAUAAAAUACAAACUUAAUGUAUAAUCUAUUAUAACCUGUCUUAAGUAUAAUAGUAUGUGCGCAUUGUAAUAUAAAGUAUUCUUAUAACCUGUCUUACUGUAUUGAAGAAAGAUGUACCUGAUAAUCAAGAGGAAUGAAAAACCCAAAAUCGAUACUUUAAUGUGCCAACUACUUGCAUUGGAAAUACCUAACCAUGAAUUUGAUGCUUGAAAUUCAUAUAGUAGAGGCUAUAUGAAGUAUAGGCAUAAGAAAUAAAAAUUGAUAAGGAUAUAAAGAAAUAUUGAUAAGAAUAUUAAAAGUAAUUUUAUCUUGAUUUAAGUUGCUUAAAGUACGUAAGCCACGUAGGAAAGAGAAAACAAAGGCAAAAGAAGAGAGAGAUGAAAUAGGGUAGGUCAUUUUAUAGAGCGUGUUGAAAUUAUUUGCCGUUAAGCCACGUAGGAAAGAGAAAACAUGAAACUAUAUAAAUUUGAGAAGGGAUUUUUAGUAACAAGUUUCCACACAUCUUUCCACUAUCAAUUCUAUUUUUCUAGCAUUUCACAUUUAAUUUAAUUUAUAAAAUAUAUUUCUCUUAACUUCCACAUCUACUCUUCACAUUUGAAAUUGUUGGUUACUUUUUAAAAUAAUUUCAUUUCAAAUUGUUGGUUAAUGUGCAUGUUAUCUUAUUUGAACUUCAACCUAUCACGUUUCCGAUUGUCUUGCGUUAUUUAUGAUUCUACUCCAAUUAAAACUUCUAUAAGACCAUAACAAGAGAUAACAAAUAUAACAUCCUUUCAUGCUUUCUUAUUAAUUUAAAUAAGUAAGAUUAUUUACACUAUAUUUUUGUUAUUCACACUUCAAUAAUCUUUUUGAUCAUAUAGUUUUCAUUAAUUAGACUAUAUGAUAAAACAAAUGGUGGAAUUGCAAAUAAUAAAAAAUGGAGUGCAAAUAACAUUUUUCUAAGUAAGGAGUGGCUUCCAUGUCUUUCUAAUUUAAAUAAGUAAGAUGUGCCUCCAUUUAUAUAGGAAUUUGGUUUGAAGUUUAUUAGUGGGAGGGUAAAUAAAGAGAAAACAUUGCCAAACUUGGUAAAAGUAAAAAUGUAAAUGAUAAUAUUUUAUCUUUUAACUUAGUAAUCCUAAGUAAAAGAGCAAAAUUAAAUAGAAAACGAAAAGAAAAUAAUGUUGUGGAUUUAAAAAAUCAAGAAUGGUACCAUUUAUGAAAUCUAAAUUAUGAAAUCACUAAAUAAAAAACAAAGUACUACUGGCAUUUUAACGUGCAAAAUUUUUUUUUUUGAUAAAUAUGAUAAUAACAAUACCAAUUCUACCAAAAAUUUUAAAAAAAGUAACAUUAUAGUUUAAGAGAAAAACAUUGCCAAACAUUCGACCCUAAAAUACUACUUAAUUUGUAUAUAUCUAGCCCAAAUUUGACCCUGAUUAGAUUUGAAUAGGAGUGUAAAACCCAAACACUAAAGAUAACUUUUGGUAUCAUUAAUUAUUUUAUGUAUUCUUAUUGCCGUCUUCAUAUGUAAAUAUGUAUUUGCUAAGUUAUAUAUAUAUAUAUUGUAGUACUUGAAGAUAUUAUAGAUAUUAUCAGUUUUUCAUUUCCAUUUUUAGAUACUAAUAAUUGCAACCAUUGUAAUCAAUUUUCAAUUUUAUAUUUUCAUUAUGAUAGGUAAAGUUAAAAAUAUUUUUUUUUAUAGAAAUAGGGGUUUAUUCAUCAAGAAAGCAAAACAAUCACAAGUUCUUCUUACAAACGCCUACUUCUCCAAAAUGCAUGGAUAUGAAUUUAGAAGUUGGGUAUGGGGGGAAAAGGGAGGGAAGAAAAUGGUGAGGAGUUGAAAAGUGACGAGAAAGGUUGAAGAAGAAAUGUGGGUUACAAGGAAGGGCGGAGUAGGGAGAGAAGAAGAAAGGGAAUUGCAGCAAUAUGACAGAAAUGACAAAAAAAAAUAGAGAGAAUGGUAUCAUGAUAGAAGAUACGAAAGUCGUAGGAGGCAUCUCAUGAUUAGCUGGCGGAUAAGAAAAGAGGGAAAUGAUGGUGAUUUUUAAUAAUUUUGAGAACUCUAAAAAUAUAUAUUACAGAGAUUUUUUUUAAAUAUACGUUAAAGUUUAUAAAAAAAUGCUAAUCUAAAUGCAGUCAACAAUUUUAGCGGUACAAGACAGGAGAAAGAUUUUUUUCUAAAACUGGAAGAAAAUAAAUUGAUUAUAAUUUAUUUUGUUAUAUUAUAAGUUUUGAUAUAUGGGUAUAACAGAAUAUGUUUCGUUCGAUACUGAUAAUUUGAUUUUUUUUUUAGAAAACUCUUCUCACCUUACCACUCAACCUAACCCUUUCCUUAAAUGCGUUAACAAUUUCUCUAUCAUGUAAAUCAUUAUAAAUUAAAAUUUUUUCAACAUGUUAAACAUACACUUCUUUAAAAUUUUUAGUCUAUAUAUAUAUAUUAUUCUGUACCACAAUAUAUAAAUAUAUACAAUAUUAUUUUAAUUUGAAAUAUAAUCCCGUGCAUAGCACGAGUCAAAAUACUAGUAUUGAUAAGAAUAUUAAAAGUAAUGUUAUCUUGAUUUAAGUUAUUUAAAGUAUGUAAGUCACGUAGGAAAGAGAAAACAAAGGCAAAAGAAGAGAGAGAUGGAAGAGGGUAGGUCAUUUUAUAGAGCGUGUUGAAACUAUUUGCCGUAUCGUUAAGCCACGUAGGAAAGAGAAAACAUGAAACGAUAAAAAUGAGAAUACGACUUUAUUAUAUAGAUAUAGGAUUAAUCUUUCCUAUACUGACAGUGUAUACACUAUCAGCAUUGGAUGAAUGAUAACUAUGCAAAAUUUGAAAUUGAAAUUCAACUUUUGUACACAUGUCAUGAAUCCAACGAUGAUAGUGUAUACACCGUCAGUGUAGGAAAUAUUUACUCAUAUAUAUAUAUAUAUAUAUAUAUAUGAUUCUUUAAAACUUGAAAGGAUGGGGCAAUUGCCCACCCUCAAGCAUCCAUGGCUCCGCCCUCGGUUACUGUGCCAAUAAUAGGCUGAUUGUAUUGCUUUGACUUGGUCAUAACUGCUUUGUACUAUUAUCUACUUUUUUUUAUCUCAAAAUGAUUUAUCUAUUUUUUUUGUUUGAGUUUUUAUGCUAUGUAAUAUUUGUUUCACAAAUCAAUAUAUUUUCAUUUUAUCAUGUAUCUAGUUGAGGGAAAAAAGUUAAAGGUUUAGCAGAAUUGGAGAAUGGUAAUAACCGAUUCACGAAAUAGACCACAGUAUAAUACAACAAGACUUAGUUUUAACCUUAUUUUCAGAAGUCAAAAUUGUGGAAGAUGUUUCAUUAAAUAUUGAUGCCAUUCUACUUCAUCAUUUUCAUAAAUAGAUCUUGAAUAACGCUUUGCCCCCCUUGACCUUUACGAUCUUGAAUUUCAAAAAUAUAUAUUCUACCCAUCUCCCCCCUCAAAUGAAUUAUGUUUAUACUUUUAAUUUUGUACAACCUAUGUGCAUAUUUUUCUUCGUAGAUUACCCCCAAUUUUCCUAGUUUCGCAACAGUCAACUUUUAAACUAUUGCAUUUUCUUCUUAUGUUUCCAUCAAAAUAUUUUUGUUAUUGUGUGCUAUGAUGUUAGAUAAAAACUCCCCCUACAUCAGCCUUUUCCCCAACCUAUCCCAGUUUCCUGGCAGUGCUCUUGUGGUGACCAUUAUUAUUAUUUAUUUGACCUAGUUUUUUGUUUAAAAAAUGUAUAUAUAACACCAAUAAAAAUCGCAAUUAUCAGUCUUUUGAAUUAGCCAAAAAUUCAAUGUUAAUUAUCACAUUUGAUACUAUGUGAAAUCUAAAUCAAUACCCAUUAUUCUUUUACAAAUAGUAUAUAACAUGUGACAAAUAAAAAUAUAAGUAAAUUAAUAUAACAAAAUCAUACUUUUAACACAAACAUAAUAAAUCUCCAAGAAAUGGUACAUUAUUUUAUCACAAUAAAAUAACAUAUUGUUUAUUUUAAAUUUGAAUAUUUACAGACAUAUUAGUACUACACUACAUUAUAUAUAAGGCAGGGGAUAGGGUAAGGAAUUUAGCCCAAUUUAAAUCGAUGCUAAGUUAUAUAUAAAUCUAUGUAAUAAGUUAAUUAAACUAUUGUCCAACAUCACACCAAACGAUAGUAAAAUGUUUUGAUGAAUAUAUAAUAAGAAAAUACAACAAGCUAAAAGUUGACCAUUGAGAAAAUAGGAAGGUUAGGAGUAAUUUGGAAAGAAAAAUAUGCAUAUCGAUUUGUCAAAGUUAAAAGUACAAAUAUAAUGCAUUUAAGAGGGCACAAUGUAUAUUUUUCAAGUUUAGGGUGGCAAAGUGUUAGGUUUUUGUUGGGGGGGGGGGUUGCAAAGUGUUAUUAACCCAUGUUAAAUAUUGUAACAUAAACCAACUUUGAACAUUUAUGCAUUUUUUACAUUUUGUAACAGUUCGCCACCAACUGCGGUUUCAAACAGGAAUAAAACGCCUUUUUCCCCACUUUUUCUGGCAAACCGUUGGGUAUGACGGACAAGGGGCUGGAGCGGUUGUCUGACAACCGCUUAUAAAUUUUUCAUGGCCAAGAUGUGGUGGGCCCAUCAUUAAAGGCCAAAAUGAAAUCGAACAAAAUGGAGAUGAGUGUAGAGGAUUGUUGCUUUAAUACAAGCUUAACUUUUAACUCCGUUUGGUCUGGCCGUUAAGGGUAUGAAAAAUUCAAAAUCAAAAUUUGAAAAUCAACUUUUGGUAUGAUCGCGCGGGAUUUAAAACUGUUUCAACUUAAAAGAUGUGGGAAGAAAAUGACAGUAAUGAAUUUUCUCUGAACACAAUACAUUGUCGUUGUAGCUCCUUUUGUUUUUCUCCUUUCAACAAGCUCCUUCUAUUCUUCUCCACUCAACAAAUUAUUUCGCAUAACAUAGACAUAAAUUUUUGUCUUCUUCUCUUCCAACUCUUAAAUAAACCUUAUCAAAACGGGCAUCUUUUCUGAGGUGUGCACAAGAUAAUUGUGAAGAUCCGCUGCAGCAACAAUACACGCUGAUUUAAGUAGUGGAUGACUGAGAUAGAUAUUCAUCGAGUAACAAAUGCAUAACCGAGACUUGUGAGCGACCCAUCUGAAAUUUACUGCAUGGUGAACUCUGUCCAAGGUAAACGCUAAUAUUAUAUGUAAUUCGGUUGUAAUAAAUGUGUUAUUUAGUGAAGCAUGAUUUAAAAAUUAUAAUAAGUAUGUCAUUAUCCUUUUAGAGAGAAUGGUUAACUUGUACAAUAAAGAUCCCGUACAGAAUUUCAAAAUAUAAAUGAGGAUGUGUACAAAUAAAAUAACAUAAGCGUAAAAAUAACUUAACAAUGUGACCAACUUAAAUAACUACAUAAACGGUAUAGAUGACAAUGUAUAGAUUUUGAGAAUUCUGUCAAACCUUAAGCUAUGUAAAAGUGUAUGAGGCAUACAUGCAUUUGUUAUGUUACAAGUUGAUAUAAAGGGUGUACACAUUGUUAUAAAGUGUGUACAUAUGAUUGUAAAAUAUGUAAAUACUGAUAUUAUGCACAAAUUGGUUAUAAUAUUUGUUUGAAAUGUAUAUAUUAUGUAGUGAAAUAUGCUAUGCAAAUUAUUAGAGUUAUGUGAUUACCUAUUACAAAGAAGAUACACAUCCAUAAAAAUUAUUUUACAAAAUGUUGUAAGGUGUGUACACGUCGUUAUAAAGUAUGUACAUAUGUGAAUACAAAUAAUUAAGUGCUUAUGAUGUGAAUAAAGAAAUAAAAAAUAAAUAUAAUUGUUUGUCCUGAAAAACAAUAGCAAAAAAUGCUUUUGUCGAAUACAGCACAAUGGAAGAAGCAUUGUGUCCUAAGAUCGGCAUGGAGUUUCAGUCAGAAGAUGAGGCAUACAACUUCUACAAUAGGUACGGAUUAGUUGUUGGGUUCAGUGUUCGGAAAGACUACUUGAACAAGGAUAAAGACGGUGUAGUUACAUCGAAAAGGUACACAUGUUGCAAAGAAGGUUUCAAACCACGGUACAAAGGAGAUGUAAAACCAAAGAGAACUCGGGCUGAAACAAAAACCGGAUGUGAAGCUAAAAUGGGGAUAAUUUUGAACAGAGAAACAAUGAAGUAUCAGGUUCGAGAUCAGGUAAUCGAGCAUAAUCACACACUACACAUUUCAGAAUGUGCUCAUAUGAUGCGUUCGCAAAGAAAAGUAAGUAUUUCUCAAGGAACCCAAGCUGAGAUUGCAAAUGAUGCAGGAAUAUCCUUGAAACAAUCCCAUGAACUCAUGGGAAAAGAGGCAGGUGGAUUAGGCAAUAUUGGCUACACUCAUGAUGACUUAAAACGCUAUCUACGAGCAAAAAGAGAGAGGGGAUUAAAGUAUGGUGAAGCUGGUGCAAUGCUACUAUACUUUGAAGAACAAAAAUUGGAAAUUCCGUCAUUCUUCCACGUAGAGCAGCUUGAUUGUGAAGAACAAAUUACAAAUAUAUUUUGGGCUGAUGCAUCAAUGCUGAUGGAUUAUACCUAUUUUGGGGAUGUGAUUACAUUUGACACCACAUAUAAAACUAACAAGGAGUACAGACCAUUGGGCGUAUUUGUGGGAUUCAAUCAAUUUAGACAAUUGGUUAUUUUUGGAGCAACUCUAUUGUAUGAUGAGACCAUUGAAUCAUUCAAGUGGGUGUUCAGUACAUUUGUAGAGACAGAUUGUGGAAGGCACCCAAAAACCAUCUUCACAGAUCAGGAUGCAGCCAUGGCCGCUGCAAUUUCAGCUGUUAUGCCUUCAACAUACCAUGGUCUGUGCACUUUUCAUAUUAUAGUCAAUUUCAUGAAACACCUUGGGAACUAUUACAAGGAUGGUAGUAAUCUCCCAUAUAGAUUUGUUGAAUGUAUGUAUGAGAUAGAAGAUGAAAAUGAGUUUAUCAUGGCCUGGGAUGCAAUGCUAAAAGAACACAAACUCGAAACAAAUGAAUGGUUGUGUGGCAUUUAUGCAUGUCGAAAGAAAUGGGCAAAAUGCUUCAUGAAAGGCGCCUGGACUGCAGGUAUGCGUAACACCCAGCUAAGUGAGAGUCUAAAUGCUUCAAUAAAAAAUUAUCUGAAACUUGAUCAUGAUCUGGUUCAAUUCUUCAAACAUUUUAACCGAGUUGUGGAUGAAAAAAGAUAUAAUGAACUAAGAAUUGAGUAUCACAGUCGACAGAAGCUGCCAAUGUUGGGAUUGCAACAGACUCCCGUACUGAUCCAGGCAGUUUCUAUAUACUCUCCAUGCAUGUUUGUUGCAUUCCAGAAUGAAUACGAUGAAUCCACUAUAAUGGUGAUCUUGGACCAAAAGCAUACUACAAUGCAUGUGGAAUACAGUGUCAGUCACUAUGAUGGAGGAAGGGAAAGAAGAGUGAUAUUGAAUCCAAUAACUAAAGACAUUACUUGUAGUUGUAAUCUUUUUGAGCAGGAAGGAAUCCUAUGCUCACAUGCUUUAAAGGUGUAUGAUAUGGUUGGAACAAAGUUUAUUCCUAAUCAAUAUGUGACAAAGAGGUGGACAAAGAAGGCAAGGUCCGGAGGCCGCAUCAAUUGCAAGGGUCGAGAAAUAUCAUUAGAUCCGUCUCUCUCUAUUUCCCAUCGAUAUAGGCUAUUAGCACCCGAAAUGGUAAGACUUGCUACCAGGGCUGCCAUGUCAGAAGCCGCUACAAAGUUAGUCAGUAGCGCAAUGUCUGAAUUGUCAAAGAGAGUCGAAAUGCUAUUUUGUGGAGAAAUAGAUGAAAUAACAUAGAAUAGUGCAUCAAUGGAUCUAUGUAAGGGAAUACAGGUGUAGAAUGCAGCUGGCCACUUUGUGACUCCAACGGGUUUGAAGAAACGAAGUGGCAGAAAAAUUAAGAAAGUAUUGCGUAGUUGGGUGGACAGGUUUCAUAGGCAAAAGAAAAACUCUAGAUUGUCUGAGGCAAGCACUCCUGAGAUGGUUAGUACCGAAUCUUAUUUUUGGACUUACAUAACUAUAUCAUUUCAAUUGACUCUACUAUCAUAAGCCGACUGAGUUGUUGUAUAUUCUUCUCUUGUCAGUCAUCAGAAUCCUAUCAACCUAUCCCAAGCCAAACAUCAAGCAAAUGUUUGUCAUCGAAUAAUUCUGUGGCAGUAAGUAGUUAUUUUUAUACUUUACAUAAUGUGCAUUAUAGUUCACUGUUAGUUAUUUAGGUGUUACAAAUUAAUAUUUUACUUGUACACAUUGGUUAUUAAGGUAUACAUAUUAGUGAUAGGAUGUUCAUCACAUGUUAUUUAUUUUUGACACAGUAAUAUCAUAUUUUGUACAUAUUAGUUGGUACACAUUACGACGAUCUCUUAAUUUAAUAGCAUUUACAUGUUGUUAUUUUAUGUGUACAAACUGAUAUAUAUGUUGUACGCAUUGAUUGAUACCAUGUACCACUGGUUAUUUUGUUUUGAAAUAUCGUUAUUACAUUUGGACACAUGAUUACACAUUUGGAUAAAGUUUUUUACAGAUUAUUAAUUUAUUUUCUCACAUUUAUUUUUUCAAUCGUACAAGUUACAAUUAUUUAUCACCCGUUGAUUAGUUUUGACAUCGUGUUAUUAUUCUGGUACACGAGUGUAUAUUAGUUGGUACACAGUACGGAGAUCUCUUGAUUUAAUAACAAUUACAUGUUGUUGUUUGAUGUGUACAAACUGAUAUAUAUGUUGUACGCAUUGAUUGAUACCAUGUACCACUGGUUACUUUGUUUUGAAAUAUGAAUAAUUCCAUUUGAACACAUGAUUACACAUUUGGAUAAAAUUUUUUACACGUUAUUAAUUUAUUUUCUCACAUUUAUUUUUUCAAUUACAAGUUACAAUUAUUUAUCACCCGUUCUUUAGUUUUGACAUCGUGUUAUUAUUCUAGUUCACGAUGUAUAUUAGUUGGUACACAGUACGGAGAUCUCUUGAUUUAAUAGCAUUUACAUAUUGUUGUUUUAUAUGUACAAAUUGAUAUAUAUGUUGUACGCAUUGAUUGAUAUCAUGUACUACUGGUUACUUUGUUUUGAAAUAUGAAUAAUUCCAUUUGGACACAUGAUUACACAUUUGGAUAAAAUUUUUUACACAUUAUUAAUUUAUUUGCUCACAUUUAUUUUUUCAAUCGUAGAAGUUACAAUUAUUUAUCACCCGUUAUUUAAUUUUGACAUCGUGUUAUUAUUCUGGUACAUGGUGUAUUUUAUCUUGUACAUUACAAACCAUAUCAUUUGAAAUCUAUUGCAUAGUUACUUCAAUCUAAUGCAUUGGUUAUGUGUUAUAUCCAUAGUAGCCCAUAAGUUUGUAGUAUAACUUUACAAUGUAUUCAUUUAUGGUCACGUAUGUACUGAAUUUUGAUUUUUGUUUAGAUUACUUUUGGUUGAUUUUUGUUUACACACGUUGUUAUAUAUUAUGUACACAUUUGCAUCAUAAUUUUCCUACGACCUAACAUCUUAAAUUUUGGACACAAUGUGUAUUUAAUUUUUACAAAUUAGUUAGUUUGUUGUUAUACACAGUGUUAGCAUGACUUUGCAACUAAUGUAAUAUGGUACUCGUGAUAACAGUUAUUCAGUGAAUCAAAUUUUGGAUCUUCCCCAGUUAUUCACUCAGAUAUGCAGUCUUGUAGGAUGGUAAGUCAGAUAUUGCAGUUGUAUGGAUAAUCAAGAUUUUGGAUAAAUUUAUAGGAUCUUAUUCAGUACAAUACUUAAUUGUAGCCCGGUGAAGCUUGAAUCACUCCUCAAAUACUGAGUGCUCAUAAUAUCCGUAUUAAAGAUCGUAACAAUCUCCCACUUUUGCUUCCCAACGAUCCUGUGAGCAAGACAAAGUACACAAGUUUCACCGAAUUCUUAAUGGUCAGUAAUUCUUUAAAAAGCUCAUUAUUUACAGUUAUUAUUUAAAACUAUUCUAACCUUGUUACAAGACUAUUGUAGGGCAUGCUUUUAUGAACACUGAACUUUUGAUUUAAAUAAUUUAUGCUUGUUUCAAUGAUUGCCAGACCCCCAAAGUGGCCUCUGUGGAAAGGUCAAAGAGCAGUACUCUCAUGCAAUUAAGCGACGAAGAAGUGCAACUACCUACGAUAUAAAUGGGUAGAAGCUAAUUGCCUUCCAUGAAUAUGUAUGCUAAGUUGAUGUAUCUUGUGACCCUUUUGGAACUGGAUUGGAACAAUGUAAUAUUAAAAUGAUUUUACUUUAAUAUUAGAUAGUAGUUUGAGAAUUGCAAUCAAUGCAGAAUAGUUUUACACCUUUUACUUCUAUUCAAUUGAUUACAAGAAGUUAUAUAUUCAUCGUGGUGUCCCAACCCUAUCUGCCGCAAACAAAAAUUGAAGCAUGUCCCAACAGUAUUGAACUUUGCUCCCAACACAAAAUUCUAUAUGUCCCACUAGUAGUAAAAACUUCAUAACUAAUGAACUUUGCUCCCAACAGUAAUCCCAAAAGGAGAUAAUUCUACACAAGUACAAAAUUCUACGCAACACAACUCAUAAAUUACUAAAUAUUUGUCAAUCAUUUAUUACAACUGGCUUUUUCAUCGGGGAGGGAUAUUUAACAACUCAAGGAUGGAUUCGGCCCAUUCGUUAUGCUCGGUUGCAACCAACAUAGACAUAUAUUGCACUCGAUACUUCCACAUGUUAUCCUAUCCAAGCAUUGAAAUAAUCAGCACCAUAUAUUAUACAUUAGUCAUCAUAAAAAUAAUUGCUACCAAAAAAUUUCUAUAAAUCAAAAUAAUAUAUAUACCUCUGUAAUGCGUAUGCCUAAUCUUCCAUUCCAGUGCUCCAGAAAUUUCAUUAUGAACACACCACAAUCAUAGCUAAAACACGAGGUAUACAUUGUCGUGACAACCAGAUUGUAGGACAUACAAGUUUUACCUUACCAUCCUAAUAAUAUAACUUAGUAUUUAGUUAUAUUUCAAGAUAGAAUAUAAAUAAACUCUUAUUUACAGGACAUAUACCUAUUGUGUGGAGACUGUUGAGGAACAUCUGCGACUUGCAAUACAAAUCCCUCGAAAUCCACCAAUUUAUCAAAUUGUUUUGCCAUUAUUAAGCCCAAGGUUCGCCUCUGCAAUAUAAAAAUAUAAUUUUCCUGAUUACACUUUCUCACUAGUUAUAUAAUAUAAAGCCAUGAAACAGAUGCAUUAAAAAUUCAAGGUAUAAAUAGUGUUUAGAUUUCACCAGUCAUCGUAAGAUGUUAGUCUGUCGAACCCGUGAUGAAUCAACUCGUGAGUCAAGGAGAUGAACAAUGCUUUGUGCAAUAUCAAAUGAGUAUACAAACCAGUGACUUUUGUUCACCACUGGAACCAGUAUCUGAAAAUAUAAUGUGUUAAACUUUACAAAUGCAACAUCUUUGAUAUAAAAUUAAAGGUAUUUGAUCUAGCAGUUAUAAGAGAUUGAUCACCAUAUCGGCAUUUGCUAGACUUGAUGCAUUAUCUGCUCUUAUUUUGAACCACUUGUUCAGUUUUGAAUAUAGGACAUCAUCAGACUUUUUCUCAAAUCGGUCUACACCUUGAAUGGUAGCCUACCCAACAAAUCAAUGAAAUUAGAUCGAAAGUCAUACGAUAGUUAGAAAUUGCACGAGCAAUUCAUACUAUUUAAUAAACAUUGAAAUCAAAUUUUCUAAUAAACUAACAAUAAGUGAAACUGUAUAUGCAUGAUGUUAGUUGGUGGUAAAAAAAAGUUGGUCAUUAUACUUACAACAACACAUGGCUCGACAAUGUACCGCUUAACCUUCAUUAGUCUUUUACUCACAUCAUUAUUCAAUAAUCUUGCAUACAUAUCAAUGACCUAAAAGAGGGGUGAGUAUAACAAUAAAAUAUUUUAGCAUUCCAAAAGGUGAGACUAUCUCCACAACUACAGCAGUUAACUUAGUCAAAUAAAAUAAUUUUUCUUUUUUUGUGGCUUACCCUAUCUGAUACCCAAUGCUUCUUCCGCAAGGAUUGCAUAUCUCUUCGGUUAAGGCUAAAUCCGAACAUAGACACUAAUAUCUCACUACAUUGAACAUUGAGUCAACAAUGUUAAGUUCAAUUAUAAAUGAAUAUGAAUAAAAAUAGCAUAUUACUCCGAAUAUUAUCGCAUGAAAAAAGAUUUUACCUCUCAUCUCUCGCGUCUUGCCAUGUGAAAUUCGCAAUCUUCCGGCUACAUUGUGUCAAAGUAGCUUGUAUUCGGAGCUGAUAAUCAGUAGACCUGAUGAGGGUGUUGUGCCUUGUUGUCCGCAAUGUCUUGUGCAUUCGGCCAUCUUCCGCAUCUAUAUUAAGUGAAGAAUAGCAAAUGUUUUUGUAAUGAUCAAUUUUUAUAUCAUUUACAAAGUGCAAUAACAAAUGAAAGCAGAAUUUUAGCUACAACAUAUAUAACUUGCCUUCACACUCUCUUUUUUUAUAUCUAGACCGACCCUUCCAUUGUGUUGCAGCACAUAGCGAAUGUUGCUCUACUGCAGCUCCUGAUAGGGAAGUUAGACCUGCAUCCAAGCAAUGAACUUCUGCAAUUGCCUUGGCAUCAUCUUUUCCUUCUUUAUCUUCGGGUUCACUUGCCUCAUUUUCACCAAAAUUCUCAUUCCUAUCCCCAGCACAUGUCUCGUCUUGGUUGUUUUCAUAUUCAAAUUUGUCCGUAUCAGAAUCUAUAACAACCUUUGCGUUCUCAUCAUCGAUCAUUCGCUUUUUUGUCCAUUUUCUUGUGGAUCUAACGGCUGCCUAGGAACAUGAUGGCAUGGCACUACGUUGCGAGCAAAGGAUACUGGAUAUAUUCAUUACACUUUGUUGACACUCGAUUGCUAUCCGCUCAGCAGUUGUCGCUUUUGUAUAUAGAGUGGUUAGAUGAAUUGAUAUAAAAAAAUAAAUGCAAUUAAUCCUCAUAUUCGUACAACUUCGGACAUAUUUGCAUUCGUAUUGCAUUUAAUUUGUUAUCUUACAGCAAUUUCUCCAUGUCCAUUAUUCACCAUCUGGCUAAUCACAUCCGAUGGAAGCUCAGUAGGUUCCUCUUGCUCAUUUUCUUCUCUGUUCGUUUUGUUUGAUCCCACCUUUGUGGACAAAAAAGUAUGUUGUAAGUUUCGCAAAGCAGUUAGCCGUAUAAUAUAAUGUCUUGCUAACUUAAAUUCCAAAAUAUCAUUGUUUCAAUAAUACUUACUAGCUUUCCUUUGCCAAAUUUUCCAAGACCACUCAAUUCUAGUGUUUCUCUUUCCAUUAUAUUGGCAUCAGUCCAUGCUUUUGCUAUAGGGCAGGUCCUACGAACACAAUGAUUGAGUAUACUUACUCGAUCAUAAUAAUGUAGCUGCAAAAUAAUAACAACUUAUCCUUGUUAGAUACAAUGAACAAAUAUAAGUUAAGAUCAUCCACUAGUUGAGAUUUCUUAACUUACCAGCAAAAAUAGGAUGCAACCUCCAACAUUUUUGUGGGCAUUGCUUUGCAUAUUCAACAAUUUUUUGUAUAAAUCAGCUCUGACGAACUCAGCCCAAUUGAAUUUUUCUAUUUGUGAAGUUGAUUGUAAACUCUCCCAUAAAUUGGCUUUAAUUUCAGCUCGUGUUGUUGGAGCAAGCAAGCACCCACAUGCAAAAAUAACAAAUAAUCUCUUGAAUUCAUCCCCGACCUCCAUGGAUAUUAGUUCAUCUUCUAUAUCAUGCCAAUUAUACUUCUUCUUCCUAGGAUAAUGUGGUUCGCUAUCAAUUCCAUCAUCUCCAGUAUCUUCAACCGGCACUAGCCCCUCACCUGGAAUUCCAAAAGCCUUUGCUAUAUCUUCUGACAUUACAGGCAGUACACGUCCACCUUCAAGUUGUAUGUAUGAGUGAGUUGGAUUGAAAUUUUUCACCAACCACAUGCAUAUCAUACUUGGAAGGUUGUGGCAUUGGAUCUCCAGCAAUCCACCAAAACCUAUUUCUUGGAUUGCAGCUAUUUUUUCCCCAUCAAUACGCCCCACAAACCUUAAAAAUUUAGCUGGUGUGCACCUAAACCUGUAUGCCUAUAAAAACAAUAUAACAAUGUUGAUAAAAUUUACCAAAUAACACUCCAAUACUUGCACUUGCGCUUUGAAACUUCUAAAUCAUUUAAUUUAAAAACAAUGAAAUUGUAUGCUAUGUCCUUACUUGUUUUGCUACAUCACUCUUUAUGCUUUCUCCCCUGUUAGCUAUAGACUCCUUGUAGCUUUUCAUCAGCUCCUUAUAUUUCUUCAUAUCUUUUUCAUUCUUCCAUACAAGCUUCUCCUCAUCACGCAAUUUGUUCCAUGCAUUUCUAGAGGCUAUGUUUAGCUCCUGCAUUGUUAAUGCCUUUCCCUUUGCUUUUUCCUUGCGUGCGAAGUCAAUCCUACCAACAUUUAAUAUGAUUAGAUCCUAUACAUUGACUUUUGAUUUUAUCAUGAGUUUUUUAACUAAUUCAAAGCCCCAAAUGUACACAAUAAUGCUUCUAUAAAGUCAUAUAUACCUGUAUGCAAUGAAAUCAGUUGGUGGCCUCAUCGGCUUUACUGGAUUCUUGUCAUGAAGUUCCUCAACCUGCUUGCCUUUAUCUUUUGUAACAUUCAUCUUCUUGGUUCCCCCAUGUCCCAUUUCAAACUGCACCAAAAUAAAUGACAUGAAAAAAACAUAAGAGAUAAUUUCGAUAUCCUAUCCCCUAAGGUUUCUUCACAGAAGUGUGUUAACUUCUGUUGUUACAAAUGUACAAGAGGUUUACAUAAAGUUACAAAAUGUUCAAAAUGAACUUCUUCAGAAAGAAGAAAGGUUAAGAAUUCCAAAAUAUUAUAAUACAUCUUUGCUGGAUAAAUAUUAAUUAAACAUUAUUUACACCAGGGUAACAUUAUGAAUUUCCUCUGCAGAAAGAAUAUAAAAUACACUACAUCUUUCCAAUUUCAAUCAUACAACUAAGGAGAGAUAAUGUAUUCCAAAAAUAAUUGUCUGAGUUUUGAUUUUUUCACAACACACUAAAUAGUCUGAAAAACAGCCUCCAAUGUUGACAAAAGUAAAAGCUGUUUUUAACUUAAUUAUGGCAUUUAAAUUUAUUCAGUUCAAAGACACGUAUAUGUAUAAAAAUAUAGUGUUAUUCUUCUUAGUUGAUAUUUCAUUACUAGGAAAUGAAAAUUCAAAACUCAAUAUGUAAUGCAACACUUAACUCCAAAAAAAUAAUAAAAUAAAAAUCAUACCUCAAAUUUUGGUAUGUUCCUCCUUGUUCCACCUUCAAAUGCAAGUACAGGCAAAAAUGCCAAGGUUGGUCCUUUAAUGUCCACAAGAAAGUUCUGCCAUGACAAUUAUGGUCAAAAACUAAGUGGUUAAAGCGGACAAGUAACAGUGAGGCCAUCAAAUGUAUACAUGCAUCUAAAGUUUGUAUACCUGUAUGAUUGUGUUUUAGUAGAUACAAGUUGUGGAAUCAUACCAUGUUAUAGAUAUACAAGCGUCACUAGUUAUAGUCUCAAGAAAUGAUAUGGACACGGCACCCUCUUAUUUAUCAGAUUGUUUCUCUAGAUGUUUGCAAAAGCAAAAUUUUUCUGAUUGUGAUCAUAAUGUGGCAGGAAACCAGGAGAAGAAUCUUUCAGGAAAGAGGAAAUAAACAGAAUUUCUUAGAUAAAGUCCACAACAUCAGCCUUUCUUAGCAAGCUCAUGUCUGAGAAAUUUAAGCACAAAAACUUACCCUUUUCUGCGAGCUUUCAACCCAAUACUUAUUUGGCUUUGAAAACCUUAGCACAGCAUCACCAUCCUAAAAAUGAUAGCAAUGCAGCUUAAGUUCUCAUUUUCAUUGUCUUUCCGCAUCUUCAGUUAUAAUUUUGGGCUCAAGCCACGACGGUUUUAGAUAGAGUUUAAGUUGAUUUAAUCUACUACUCAAAAAUUUUAAAAUUUAAUGAACAAGACAACAAUGGCAAAGGCAAAAGAAAUUUUUCGAGCUUCUGGAUACCUUAAAUUCAGUUUGCCCAUCAAUAGGCAAAAAAACCAAAUAUUUUAGCAUAUCAUGAUUGCCAAAAGAAAAAAAAAACUUGCAAUUAGGUUGAACAGAAUAUAAUGCAAAACUGAACAAAACAGGAUCAGAUUUUUUUUGACAAUUUCUCAUCAUUUCCUUUCGUUCUUCUAAUAUUGCGGGUUCUUUGGACUGAUUACUAGAUUUUCAAUAAUUACACAAUUAUAUAAAUUAAUUAAAAUCAAAAUUAAACCACAACAACUUAGGCAGCAAAAAAUUGACAUUAAAAAUUGAAAAAUUCAAUCAACAUAAUUGAGAGGGGCAAAGAAAAACCCUAGUGAAAACGGAGACAUUACAGGAGAAAUUACAGAGAAAUUACUAGUUUGUUACAAGAUAAAAAUAAAAAAUCAGGAAGAAGACAUUACAAACCUGUAAUUUCUAGUUAACAACGAAAUUAUUACUGAUUACGAACUAGUAACAAUGAAAUUACUAGUUCGUAAUCUAGUAACAAUGAAUUACGGACUAGUAACAACGAAAUUAUUAGUUCGUAAUCUAAUAACAAUGAAAAUACAAAGAAUUUUGACCCCAAUGAAUUAAAAAAAAUGUCAAAAAAAUGAAGAGUAUCAAAGUUGUCAGUACGUUACAAGGGCAACAUAGGAGCAGAGAGUGUAAAAGAUUCCAUCUUACCUUGGAUUAUGCAGUUUCUCCUCCUCCAAAAAACACCGUGGGUCUUCUUUAGGAUGAAUUCAGGCAGUUGUUUUGGAAAUUAGCAGACAACGGGGAGUGAAAUGGGAGUGAUUUUGUGGAGUGAAAUGGAAGUUCUUUUGUGGAGUGAUUUUUUGCAUUAGCAGACAACGGGAAAAGGGUUUGGGAAAUGGGGAAAGUGAAAUGGGGAUUUCCGAUAAAAAGGAACUUUUCAUUAAUUAUUUGGGAGGGAUAAAUUUGACGCCAUUUGACGAUGAUGCUUCAUCCGUUUCUACAAUUUUCAUUUUUUUAUUUGCCACUCAAUAAAACGACGCCGUCUUCUUCAGCUCAUAUAACUUUGUGACGUGGCUUCGUUUUGGCCGUUGAUGAUGGUCCACCACAUCUUGGCCAUGAAAAGUUUAUGAGCGGUUGUCCAUCUUGGCCAUGAAAAGUUUAUGAGCGGUUGUCUGACAACCGCUCCAGCCCCUUGUCCUGGGUACGACAACUCAUUAUGUUGAAGCCUCGGAGACAACCGUGCUAGAGACCUUGGCCCUUUUUGUUUUUUGGGCCAGAGAGACUUUGACUUUGACUAAUUCAUUUUUUAUCUGUAACAUUGACAGAGUAAACGAUGGAAAAAAAAUGGAAAGCUAUUGAAAACCCAGGUCUUGCUUCUCAUUUAUUAUUUGAGGUCACGAUGUAACAGGUCCAUGCAUUUGAGUGGAAUGCACAUUGGAAUUUGAUUUGGAUAAGAAUUUAUUCAUUUCUAGCUUGAUUAGUGACAAAUAAAAAUUCAUAUGACUUUUAAUCACUCUUGGUCUGAUUUCAAUAAGUAUAUUUAAUGUACAAAUUAAAGAGCAACAAAUAAGAAUAAGAAAAAAUCAUCUUGUUCCGUUCACCUUUUCAGGUUCAUAUUUUUUAAACAGGUUCAUAAUUGUUUCAUGAUUCGUGUUUCAGAUUUACAGUGAAAUGAUUUGAAACAACUUAGGAGGGAAAUUACAUAAACAUAAAAUUGACAAGUUAAAGAGAUACUUGGGAUUGAGGUGGAGGAAGGUUCUUUUUCGUCGUUUAAAGAGAUAAAAUUUUUUGGGUACAAUUUCUUGAGUGCAAUGAUCACGUCUCUAUAUCUAGUUCAAUAUUUCUGCCUUUUUGCGAUUGAUAAAUUAAAACCACACCAGAAAUGUCAAAGUGCAUAGGCUUGUUAUCAAAUACUUAGAAGUCCCAAAAAUAUAUUCCACUGUGUUGUUGUAAUCCCAAUUAUGCUGGCUUUUAACAUAUUGUUAAUUAAUCAAUUGUGCUCUUUUUUUUAAAAAAAAAUUUGUUAGCUAUAAUUGCGUUAGAAGACUCAAAUUAAAAAGAGAUAUAUAUAUAUAUGUUCUUAAUGCCUUUUCCAAGUGAAUACUAAUUAAUCACGUACAACAUGUACGACACCUGACUUGAGGAACAAUCUGAUGGCUACAAUGAAGUAACCGAAGAGCAGAAUAUGAAAUAUUUCUUACUAUUUCUUACCAGAAUUUGUUCGAGAUUGUGAAUUUUGUGCAUCAGUUUCGAAGCCUAGGAGAAAAUUUUGAAGAAAAGUUUGUUCCUAUAUUUUUUAUUCACACACACAAGAAUGCAAAUACGAGUCAAGUUCAGGUUUAUCCUCUAUUGUGCGUGAGACCAUCGAAGGAAAUUAUAUCUGAGUUUAUAUUUCAACGAUCGGGCUUUAGGUCCUGGACAGGGCUUAGCAGGAGACAUAAUGGCUGGGAAAAGUUUGUCCCAUCAUGUGCAUGGUUGAACGGGUCUGGUAAACAAAUCGAAUCGGAUCAAAAAUGUUAACCGCCUGGCGUGAUUUGAAAUUUCAAAUUUAAACUCGAGUUCUAUUCAAUUUAACAGUUAAUAUUCUCAUGUUUAACUUGAAUUUUUAUUCAAAUUUUUAGUAAUCAUAUAAAUAAUACAUAUAUAAUAUUAAUAUAAUAAAAUAAUGUGUAAUUUUAUAUGAAAUAUCAAUAAAUAUAUUAUAUAAAAAGUUAAUCAAGCCUAAUCAAACCUUGAUCAGCGAAUAUAUACAAGUUCAAAUUCGAUUUGAUACUCAACUUAAUCAAAUCCUAUUCUCGUUUAAAUUUGAGUUUACGUUCGUUAAAAAUUGAAAUUAAGCCGAACCCUUGAUGAAUCAAUCGAGUUAAAAUUGUUCGCUAAAAAUUCAAUUUGUUUACAGCCUUAUGUUGAUGGUCUAAAUCAUGGCUGUACUGUGCAAUUCACGGUCUAAUCAAGCCAAAUGCUAAUUGUUCGAUUUGGACUACUCAUAUAAAGAUGAUUAAGCAUAAGAAACUUCAUAUUGUUUUUCCUCUGUCCCUACAAUUCAUAGAAACAUUCAUACACUUACAAGACCUUAUUUAACCUUAUUUUCAUCUUAAGUUUUUCUUUCUUCAAAUUCUUUAUGUUCGUUUAAUGGAUACGUUUUCAUUAUAAAAACCUUUUAAUGAUUAGGGACCAAGUAAUUUUUUGUUGUUGUUUUAUAGUUUAAGAAGUGAUUUAGUUGCAAAUUAGCAUUUAGGAUGCAAAGGUGCACAGCUUAAUGAAUAAAACCUUUUGUUGUUCGUUUGAUAUUUCUAUUAUACCCCUAGAGUUGGCUAAAAAUUUUGAAGGCAAAAUGAGUAAAGAAAAACAAUAUUAGGGGACAAACUGUAAAUUAACUAGCUAUAUCUCACGGGGAGAUUUUGUAAUUAAUUCUAAUUUUAAUUAACAUUCCUAGAGAUAUUUGAAAUCUGUCCAUGAAGUUGAUUAUGGGAAAAAAAAUUUAAGAGCAAGAGUUGGAUUGAUAAAUUCUAAAAGGAAGGUGAUAUGGCACGUAAAUUUUCAGUGAAGGAAAAUUCCAAAGAGUAAAAUGCUUUCUGUCACAGAACCCACGUAAGAAUCCGAGACUCAAGUAAUGCACUUAUAAAAUAUGGCUAAAAUCGAUCACAAGUUAAUUUUGUAGAAGAAUGUUUCAUCAAAUUCUGAUGCAACUCCAUUUGAUGAUUAAAAUUUAAAUAUUGUAACAUAAACUAACAAUCAAUAUUAUGGAUUUUUCUUUUAUUUUGUAACUGUAAUUCAAAUUUCAAACUUCCAGAAUUUAUACAUGAAUAAAUUAAUUGUACAAGUUGUUUGAGAAAGGAAAUUUUUUGAGUUGCCAUAUAAACGGCAGACUUGCUAUCAAUACUUGAGAAACGAAGCUUUUCUCUUGAUUUCUCAAAACACUUGAUUUCCCCUUACAGAUUUGAAGCAUAGUUAUUAAACUCAGAUCAGCCGAUGGUCGAUUAAUGCCAGCAAUUUAAUCGAAUUAGACUGGAAUCCGACCGAUUUUGUCAACGAACCGGAUUUUAUGGAAAAGAUGUUAGUAAGCUCUUAUCAAGAUUUGAACUUAGGACUUUAAGCAUAAAUGUAUAGUAUACUCACCACCAUACCACUUGACAUAUGUAAGUUGAAUAGCAUUCUUAUGCUAUAUGAAUGUUUUGUCAAUUCUAUCUUUGUUCUUUUUUAUUUUUCCAAAACAAAUUUAUUUGAAAUCUUUUAAUAAAAAUUUAUGACCCCCCUCCCCAAACAUUAUAAGUUAUAAAAUGGAUUUUAAAAAUAUUAUAUUACAUAAUCUAUUUUAAAGACAAUUAUUGUUUUAAAUAAUUAUUUGCACUUAAGAUUUGUAAAUAAACUCGAUAAUUACACUAAAUACGAUAAAAUUUUAUGCUUGAAGUUUGGUGAAUUAUUAAUUAAAUUUAUGUUUUGUUGAUUCUUAUAUGAAUUAAUUAUUCUACAAUGAAUUAAAUUAAAUAAGCAUUUACUAUGGCAUUUUUUAUUAUAGUUUAUAACAUAUAUCUCAUAUCAAAAAUUAUGAGACAUAAUAUUUAAUUAUAUUUAGUGACCCACUAGUUCAACCAUUCAUCAACUGGUUGAACCAGUGACUCGUUGACCCACCUCCUUCAUCAGAUUCCUUUGUGGGCCGGGUUUAAUAACUAUGAUUUGAAAAGUUAUUUUUGUGUUUUAGAAAAUGGAUAAUAAUAAUUACAAGUAUCAGAGUUGGGAUGGCCCAACAUUUGAGUUCAAAUGCGCCAUAGCAUCCAGAGAGCUAUUGUUAAAUCUGGAAACAUUUCAGACUUCAAAACACGUAGUUUGGGCCGCCAACGUCCACUUGCACAGAUUUGUGUAGGUUUUCUAAACGACUCAACAAUCCCCCACUAAUUUGCAAAACAUGUGUAUCCUAAACCAUGAACUCUUCAAUAGUUCAACUUUAAUGGAUGAAUCUUAAGCAUAAUCAGAAGUAUCUCUUGAUAAUUUCAAAAAAAAAAAAAAAGAAGUUUCCCUUGAUUUAAACUUCUAACUGGUAUAGAUGAUUUAAAUUUUUAAUGUAGUUGUUAGUGUUCUUAAAUUAGGGAAGUUCUACAGUCUCUUUAGAGCACUGUGCCGAUGAAAUUAAAUUUAUUGUUGGAUAUAAAAUAGGAAUUAUCAAUCUUUAGAUUAUUUUAAGAGUUUAAAUUACUAAAUGAUAUGAUAAGAUAUGAGUAGAUUAAAAUUAUAGAUACCGUACCCAAAAAGGACUGUAGCAUUUUUCAUUAAAUUAAACUAUAUCUCUUAAAUGUCAAAGCACAGCACAAUUAAUGAUAUAUACUUUUCUCGAGGUUAAUAUUAGCUUUACAGCUAUUUUACCCACGUGUUAAUCCUAAUUUCACAGUCAUCUACAAAAGUAUGCUCAAACUCUUGUUGAAGUGGCAUCACUUCAAUACUUAUAUAGGUGAGAUUGUGCUUGUAAGAGUUCAAAUUGAAGGAACUUGAAGGGACGUUUUGUUGCUAAAAAGGAGGCUCUAGAAUCAUCUUUUGGACUCCUUUUUCUCUACAUAUAUAUCAUUUGAGCAAAAAUCAAGAGCUAGGAAAAGGAGAGUGAAACAAAUACCACACAAGAUGUAAAACUUAGUUAGUUUCUUAGUUCUUUAGCUUAGUAUAGGUUAGGUAGUUUUAUUGCAAACUUGUAUCUUAACUUGGAUGAACAUCAAGAUUGAAGAAGAAGAGAGGGAGGCCCACAUGUGACAAGGGGUUUUUUCUUUUCCAACCCUUUAAUUCUUGUAUUAGAUUCCAAUGUUUAGCCAUAAUAUAAGUUUAUUAUUUACUUUUAUUUUCUUCAUGUUUUGUUAAGUUUAUAUCUAGAGUUAUAGAUGAAUUUUCUAUAUCUUGUUUGUGAGGUUUGCUUGCGUAUUUGAUACUGUUAUUUUAAGCAACUUAUUUAACACUUUUGCUUAUCUAAUCAUGAUUAACUGAUCAUUAAUUGUAAUAAUUUCAUGGUGUUAAAUUUGCGAUGAGAAUUGAAAUUUAACAUUAGUUCAAGAAAGUGCUAAAUAUAUGGAGUAACUCACAAAAAUAGAGGUGCACUUUUGUGACUUUCGUGACUUAUUCCAUUUAAUUUCAUAGAAUUUAAUGAACUUGUAGUCAAUUUUAUAAUUAUGAGAGUAACUGUGGAUUAGUUAUAGGUAUGUUCGGUAUACUGGUUAUAGGUAUGUUCGGUAUAAUUAUGAGAGUAGAUAUUGCAUACAUUAGGAAAUUACAUCAUAACUAGUUAAGGUAGUAAUAUUCAAUUAACUGGUAGAUUCAUUUGCAAGAGUAGUUAUGAAUUCUAUGACUCUAGGAGCUUUUUAUUGUUGUUUUUACUUCCAUUUAUUACACAUUUGUAGUGCAUAUAAAAUUUCUCGUACUUGUGAUCAUCUAGAAAGGACCGUGUAUUCCAUUGAUGAGUUGAAUAACCCAGAGGAAAUAUUAUCUAAAAUUCCAGUGAGGCAAUUAUUGCCCAAGUCUAAAUGCUCCAGAUAUUCCAAAUUACCAGUGACUUGGAAAGCUUCCAAUGAAGUUAUUGCCGUUGAAAUUGAUGUAUCCAUGGGUGGGUAAUUCAUCCAACAAUUAGGAAUUUCUCUUGAUAGAAAAUUUGCUUGAAAAUUUAGACAUGUAAGAUAUGGUUUUCCAUUUUUCACUUCACACAAAAAGUGAGAAACAGCUCCUGAAAACAAAUAGUUGGAAAGGUCUAGAUAUGAGGUAAAUGAGAAAUUAAUUGUGGCAGUGGGCCGUUGGAUCUAUAUGACUAUAGUGUACAUGUGUACAUGUAAACCUCUAACAAUUUCAGAGAUAUUUGAACGCUUAUUAUGAAGUUGAUUGUGAGAAAGGUUCAUGUAAUUCGUAGAUGAGUUGAAUAACCAAGGAGGAAUAGUACUUGAAAUUCUCAUAGAGGACAAAUCCAAAUAACAAAGUUUCUUUUAUGACUUGAGCCAUGUAGGAAAUUAAGAACCUAGCUUCCACGGACCCAAUCCAAGUCCUUUAAAGGCAUAAGGAUUCCAACUUGCCCUUACUUUUAAGGUCAAGAGUUUUAGAUGCAUAAAAAUGUUUAAAAACUUGUCAUAUUGUUAAGUAGAUUGUCACUCACAAAGCCUUCUAUGAAAUUAUCGUUAAUAAAAAGGUAUUCAAGUUUGGAAAACUGCCCAAGACUUUCAGGAAGGAUUCCAGUGAGUUUGUCUGUACUUAUAAACAAGUGCUCUAAGGAUGACAGAUUUCCAAAAUUUGAUGGAAUUGAACUAGCAGAGCAUUGUCACAAAGCAAAAGAUAUUUUAGAUUGGUGUGGUUGCCAACAGUGCUUGGAAUUGGAUCACUCAAGUAAUUACUACUUGUAUCAAAUGUAAUAAAGUCCUUUCGAUGUGAAUAACUCACUUGGUAAAGAGAAGCUAAGGUUGUUAUGAGAUAGAUCAAGAUAUUGAAGGCUGGAAAUGUUAGCAAUAGAGCUUGCCAUAUAACCUUGAAAGUCAUUGGAGCCAAGAUCAAGUGAAAUUAGGACAGUUAAAAGUGGAUAAUACGCUUGAGAGAGAGGCAGAGAAGGUAUUAUUGUACAGAUCCAAAAAUGUAAGGGAUCUCCAAUUCCAAGUUCCAUCAGGGAAUGUAACUUCAAAUUGAUUUGACGCAAGGUUGAGAGAAACGAGGUUAUUACUGAAAUUGUUUUGACUUAGAUCAAGGUAAAGCAAUUGAGUAAAAUUUUGUAAUGCAUGACUGAUAUCACCACUUAUAGUGAUUUCAAAUUACGCUCUAUUGCAUUGACGUGAAAGUAGUACGGAUGAAUAUUGAACAUAGGAACAAGAUAUUGAAGACGAAUAUUACUAGUCAAUUUGUUCGAACUGAGGUCGAGAUUUUGAAGCUUCCCAUUAGUCCCUAGCCUUUAUGGGAUGCUUUCAGUGAAACUGUUCUGCCAUAACUGCAACACUUCGAGCUCCGGCUAGUCUCCAAUGAAGUCCGGUAUCGACCCUUGAAGUUGGGUUCGGAAAAGAUUCAAGAGAGUCAAAAUUUUCAGCUUGGCAAACGAGGAAGGUAUUUCGCCGGUGAACAUGUUGCUGGACAGAUCCAUAUAUUUCAAGCUUUUCAAUUACCCUAGCUCCGGCUUCAACGGCCCAGAAAACGCAUUCACUUGAGGAAAGAGAGUAUCCGAGUUCUGCAACUUCCCAAGCUCCGGCAGAAUCUCGCAAGAGAGGCCAUAGUUGGCUGCAUCUGCGAUAAGUUGCCAAUUUCUGGUGGGAUCCCACCGGAGAAAGUGUUGAAGUAGCCAAUGUAAAGUUGUUGAAGUUUGGUCAAGUUUACUAACUCUGGUGGGAUCUUACCCGAGUUCAUUGCCAGAAACGGCGAGGUAUUCGAGAUUUGGAAAUGUACAAUACGCCAUGGGAAUGCUUUCGGUGAAGAAGUUACCGCCCAAAUGGAGAUGCAUGAGGUAUGUUAACUGAUAAACGUCCACCGAACAUGUUAUUAUUGUCGAAAUCAAGCACCUCAAGAUUAUUUAGGCGAAUGAGCUCCUGGGGAAAGGUGAGGUUAAAGAUAUUGUUGGACAGGUUUAGGUAGCGGAGGGUGGAGAUUUCAGGAGGGACGGGACAACAGAACUGGUUGGCCGCGAGGGAGAGGUUAAGGAAUAAGCGGAGAUGGCCAACAUCAGGGGAAAGGGUCUGGUGAGAUUAAUCCCGGAAAUGUCAAGAGCAGCCACGUGAUGGCAACCGGAACAAGUGCUUCAUAUUCAAAUCAUUUGUUCGGGAUUUUGUGUGCCCUGUCUAUUUCAUCUUUAUUUUAACUGCCAUGAGUAUUACGACAUGUAUGUAUUGUGCUAUGUACUUAUCCUCCAAUAAAAUUAUAAGAUUUAUUAAUUGUUCAAUUUAUUUACAAUAAAAUUGUAAGACUUGUUAAUCAAUACACGUGAUAGUGAAAUAGAGGCAGGAUCGAGACAAAAUUCGGGACAGAUGAUUUUAAACAUAGGCCAUGAGCAAUGACUCGUGGAGGGCAAUGUUUAAAAGGCAAUCACUCAUCUUGAGUGUAAAUUUCAGAAAUUUUGAUUUUUUAAAUAUAUAAAAAAUAAAAUAUACAAUAAUACAACAAAAUUACAAUAUUCAUACAUAUAUGUGUAUAUAUACUAAUAAACAUAAAUUUGAAAAAAAUUAAGAAAAUUACAAAAAUAUUAUUAUUGUCUAACAAAUAAAAUCGCAACAUAACUCUAACUCAUAUAUUAGUUAUUUACCUAGAAUCAUGCUAAUAAAAAAUAGUUAUAUUUUGGGAUAAAAAAUGAAAAACUAUUAGAAAAGUCUUGAAUGCUUUUAUUUUGUAUUUUUCCUAAACUAUUUUCAAAGAGAAAAUAAAUAGAGUCAUUCUUCAAAAUUAUUAAACAAUAAUCAGGACAGGAAACAGAGAUAAGGAAGAUAAAAUAGUAAAAUCAAAGUUCAAAAUAAUGAAAAGAAAAAUAUACAAAAAUGCCAUGAAUGCCCAAAUGCCCAAUGCCUUAAACACUCAUAUGUUCGCCCCAUUCAAACAUUCUAGGGCAUUUGGGGCUCAUCUCGCCCCGGGGUUUGCCCCGAAACUCGCCCCAAAAAUGCUUUUUAAAUUAAUGGUGGAGGCAUUCCAGGAUGAUAAAGAAGAUUAUGGGUCGUCGGUAAUGGCGGAUUUUAUGGAGAGUAAUGCCUUGUACACCGGCAUUCAGGGUGUUGUUGCCGCAAAGGCAGAAUGGAGUAAGAAGAACUAAAAAAGAGGAGGAGAGCAAAACUGUUGUGGUACAGAACCUAAGAUCCAGCUGGGAAUGGAAAAUAAUGCUGAAGUAAUCGAACUUUUAAUUGACGCUCAAAUGAAUUGCAAACUCAAUUGAAUGAACCACUAAUUUAUUGAUGAACUUCAAAUUGGAUACAGAAACAGAUUUGGCGGGAAAAGGAAGAAGGGGAAAAAGAAUGCAGGAAACUUGAGGGAAAAGACAGAGGGAAUAUUUCCUCUCUGAUUACAGAACAAAUCUAGACAAAAAGCUCCCUAUCUAUUACACGAUCAAUUCAUUUAUAGGAAAUUAUCCUAACUAACUUAUUUCCGUAGCUAAUAAACAAAUGACACGUGUGGUAGGAAUCUCAGGUUGUUUGGAUUCCAGUUCUCGUACAGAAAGCAUGAACCCAGAAUGGGCGUGCUUCCUUGGUCGCGCCUUUGUUGCUUCUCCCGCGCCUUCCCCUUUGUUGACUUCGCGCCUUCACUCUUUUGCUCCCAUCCACUUGUUGUUAUUUGUUGGUUCGCGCCUUUCCUUGCCUGUCCUUGCUAUCCCCACGCCUUUCCCUUUGUACUCCCCACGCCUUCUUACCUCCAGCUACCUACUUCAUUACAAUGCUUCCCCCUUGAGAACAAAUCUUGUCCUCAAGAUUGGAAAGUAGGGAACUGUUGUUUGAUUCCUUCGGCGUCCUCCCAGGUGGCCUCUGCAGGAUCAGUGCCCCACCAGUGGAUCAGCCACUGUGUUGCUGCAGCAUUUCUUCUCUUCACCAUCCUCCUAUCCAACACUGCUACUGGUUCUACCCUCCAGUGUCCUCUCUCAUCCGUGUCUGGCAAUUGAAGUGUAGGGGAGACUUUGUUCCCCACCUUUUUCUUGAGCAGGGACACAUGGAAAACAGGGUGGACUUUUGAGUGAGCUGGUAGGUUCAGUCUGUAGGCCACAUUUCCUAUCCUUUCUUCCACUUUGUAAGGACCAAAAUACUUGGCUGAGAGUUUGGUGUUCCCUCUCAAGGCUACUGAAGACUGUCUGUAUGGUUGUAGCCUCAGAUACACCCAAUCUCCUGUAUUGAAUUCCCUCUCACUUCUCCUCUCAUCAGCAUACUUCUUCAUCCUUUCUUGAGCCUGUUUCAAGUUCUGCUUCAGUAAGCUGUCAAUCUGUUGUCUUUCCUUGAUAUACUCUUCUACUGUAGCUACUCUGGGCUGCUGAUAAGGUCCCAGAGCUAGUUGGGGAGGGGGAAUGCCAUAUAGUGCUUCAAAAGGGGUCAUCUGAAUAGCAGUGUGAUAGGAGGUGUUGUACCACCAUUCUGCCAUAGUUAACCAUUGGUUCCAUUUUCUAGGUUCUGUAUGAGUCAGGCAUCUGAGGUACAUUUCCAGCACCUGAUUUACUCUUUCUGUCUGGCCAUCAGUUUGUGGAUGAUAGGCCGUGCUGUAGUUCAGCUUGGCCCCCAGCAUACUGAACAGUUCCCCCCAGAAUUGACUAACAAAUAUCCUAUCUCUAUCUGAAAGCAUGCACUGAGGAAUCCCAUGAAGUUUACUAACAUGAUCAAUGAAGAGCCUGGCUACCUUUGGGGCAUCAAAAGGAUGAGUGAGACUGAUGAAGUGAGCAUAUUUUGUGAAUCUAUCUACUAUCACCAUUAUGGUAUUCUUUCCUUCUGACUGAGGCAAUCCUUCAAUGAAAUCCAUGGUGACAUGGCUCCACGAAUGUUGAGGUGUAGGCAGGGGCUGUAGCAGGCCUGGAUAAGCUACAUGUUCAUCCUUACACUUCCUGCAUGUGUCACAUUCCAGAACUUUCUCCCUGAUAGCUUGGUACAUUCCUGGCCAAUAGAACAGUAGCUUGGCUCUCUGGUAGCUAGCCUGGACUCCUGAGUGUCCCCCUAUUUGAGAGUUGUGUAGAGCAGUGAUGAUCUUUUCCCUGAUGUCUCCCUGUCCUCCUACUACCAGCCUUUUCUUGUAUCUGAGUAUAUCAUCUUGGUAGGAGUAAUCUGGCACCUGUGUGGGGGUCAGGAGCACCUGUGAUAUGGUUUCCUUGAUCCAAUUGUCUCCCUUAUAGCUCUCCUGCACUUCUCUGAUCCAGGUAGGUACUGCACAAGAUAUGGCUGAGCAUUCUUCUCUGCCUUGCCUAGAAAGUGCAUCAGCAGCCACAUUGUCUUUCCCUUUCUUGUAGUGAAUCUCAUAUCUCAGUCCUAGUAACUUGGUGAGCCACUUCUGCUGGAGGGGGGUGGUAAUCCUUUGUUCCAGCAAAUACUUCAAACUCUGGUGGUCAGUGUUUAUGAUGAAGUGGUGUCCCUCCAAAUAAUGCCUCCACUUGGAUACAGCAGUCACUAGUGCCAGCAAUUCCUUCUCAUAGAUGGAUAGUCCCAUAUUCUUUUGUCCCAGGGAUUGGCUGAGGUAGGAGAUGGGUCUCCUGUCCUGCAUUAGUACUGCACCUAUGCCAUGGUAGCAGGCAUCGGUUUCAAUGAGGAAUGGUUGAGUGAAAUCAGGUAUGGCUAGGACAGGGGUGCUGCACAUGGCCUCCUUUAACUCCUGAAAGGCUUUCUCUGAAUCCUCACUCCAGUGGAAGUUGUCCUUCUUCAACAGGUUGGUCAAAGGCCUUGCUAUGGCCCCAUAUCCCUUGACAAAUCUCCUGUAGUAGCCUGUCAACCCCAGAAAUCCCCUCAACUGCUUAAUAUUUGUUGGUUUUGGCCAGUUCUUCAUGCACUCGAUCUUCCCUAGGUCAGCCUGCACCCCUUCUGCUAAAAUUAUGUGUCCCAAAUACUCCACCUGCAGUUGUGCAAAGGAGCAUUUACUCCUCUUGGCAUAUAGCUGGUGCUGCCUCAGGAUGUCCAAGACCUCAGUUACUUGCUGAACGUGUGCCUCCAUGGUUGGACUGUAGACCAGUAUAUCAUCAAAAAACACCAGUACAUGUUUUCUCAUCUGCUCCUGGAAGACUUGGUUCAUCAAGCUCUGGAAGGUUGCAGGGGCAUUGGUCAAGCCAAAUGGCAUGACCUUGAACUCAUAGAGUCCUUGAUGUGUCCUGAAGGUUGUCUUUGGAAUGUCCUCCACCUUGACCCUGAUUUGGAAGUAACCUGCCCUUAAGUCAAUCUUAGUGAAGUACCUGGCCCCAUGCAGCUCAUCAAUCAGCUCUUCAAUCAAGGGCAUAGGGAACUUGUUCUUAAUUGUCAGCUCAUUCAGUUGACUAUAGUCCACACAGAAUCGUCAUGAUCCAUCCUUCUUCUUGACUAGCAACACUGGAGAGGCAAAGGGGCUGCUGCUAGGCUGUAUGAUGCCUAUUUCUAGCAUUUCCUUCACUAAUUUUUCAAUUUCUGUUUUCUGUACGUAGGGGCAUCUGUAGGGCCUUACUUGAAAAGGCUUGGCUCCUUCCUUCAGAUUAAUCUGGUGAUCAUGGCUUCUGGUAGGUGGCAUCCCCUUAGGCUCUUCAAAAACAUCUUGGUACUGGUCCAGAACUUGACUGAUUUCAGCAGGUGUUUGCUUUGGAUCAGCUGCCUCCACCACUGCUGCCAAUUGUGCUACUACCCCAUAAGGUUGCUUCCUCAGCCACCUCUUCAGCCUGUUCCCCUUGAGUCCUCUCAGCUUGACACUGCUAUCCUCCCCUCUUAGCACUACCUUAUGUUUUCCUUGGUGGAUCCUCAUACUGAGGUCCUUGAAAUUGAACUCUAUGGGACUAUGCUUUGCCAAUCAGUCUACUCCUAGAAUCAUGUCACAGCCUCCCAACUUAAGAGUGUUGAAGGUGUGCUGGAAUUGGUGUCCCUGCAUUUCCCACUGCAGGGGUUUGUCCAAUCCCUUUGAAUCCACCUUUUCACCAUUUGCCACAUUGACCAACAAGCUAGGCCCCUGAGUACCAAGCCUCAGUUCUAUUGCUAGUUGUUCAUCAAUAAAGCAGUGGGUGCUGCCACUGUCUAUUAAGGCAGUGACCUGUCUUCCUUUGGUCAAACCUUUAAGUUUUAUGGUCCUGUGUCCUGCACCUCCAGCCAAGGCGUGCACAGACACCUCUAUAUGUUCAUCAGCCAGCUCUCCAUUAAUACAGUCACAGUACACCUCAUCCCCCUGUUCUUCACUCCCUCCUGUAGCCCCCUCCUCUUCAGCCAAUAGAUAGUGAACAUGGGACUGUUUGCAUACAUGUCCCAUGGUAUAAGGUUCUGCACAUUUAUAGCACAAUCCCUUCUCCCUUCUCAGGUUAAACUCUUCAGGAGAAAUCCUUUUGAAUUGAUUUUGGUUGAGGGAAUUUUGGUUAUAGGUUCUAGGAGUGUGUUUGGGGUUAUCCUGGUUCCAUUUGGGAUGAGUAAGUGCCUUUAAUGGCCCUUUCUGGCUAUGGAAACUAGCAGGAGCAGGUUUGUGUAUCUUUUGUAUGGCCUUAAGGUUCCUUUCUUGCAGUUUAGCUAUUUCAAUGGCAUCAGCAAGAGAUUCAGGUUUAGAUAUCUUAACCAUAUUAACAAUUUCCUCUUUCAGUCCACUCAUAAAACAUGCUUUAUAGUAGGAAUCAGACAAAUGUGGUAGGGAUGGCAUUACCAGGGCUUUAAGCAUCUCGAAUUUCUCCAGAUAAUCAGCUACUGAUCCAGCUUGUGUCAGCUUGUUAAACUCCUCGAUGGCCUCUUCAGGUUUCCCUUCUCCAAACCUGACACACAGAGCAGUAGUCAGCUCCUCCCAGGGUAUGAUCUCCCUUCCAUGGAACCAAAUGUCUGCCCUAUCCCUGAAGUAGAGCUCAGCCACAUCAGAUUUCAUAUCGUCUUCUACUCCAUGUAUCUUGAAGUAUUUGUUGGCCUUCCUGAUCCACUCUCUAGGAUUGUCCCCAGUGAAAACUGGUAGGUCCAUCUUAGGUAUCUUGUGGUCAUUCCUGAACUCUCUCCUUCCAGACGAUUCUCUCCGUGGAUCCAAUUUAGAUCCUUCUGGUUGAGUUACCUCCUUAGAACUGCUGCUUCCUUCCUGGUCUUUGCCUCGAUCAUUCACCUUAGACAUAAGUUGAGCCAUCAUGUUCAUCAUUCCCUCAUAUUUCUGAUCAAUCCCCUUCAAUAGCUUUUCAGUAGCAUCUUGCCUGAAUUCCAUUGAUCUGAUAGCCUGCUCCAUUCCCUCAUUUUUGUUAGUGAAGGUCCUGACCACACUGCCGAGCUCCACUAUCUCCCUCCUCAGAGUCUCAUCCUGAUUUUUCGUCAUCCCUAUGGCUUGUUACCUCAGCUCUGAUACCACUGUUGUGGUACAGAACCUAAGAUCCAGCUGGGAAUGGAAAAUAAUGCUGAAGUAAUCGAACUUUUAAUUGACGCUCAAAUGAAUUGCAAACUCAAUUGAAUGAACCACUAAUUUAUUGAUGAACUUCAAAUUGGAUACAGAAACAGAUUUGGCGGGAAAAGGAAGAAGGGGAAAAAGAAUGCAGGAAACUUGAGGGAAAAGACAGAGGGAAUAUUUCCUCUCUGAUUGUAGAACAAAUCUAGACAAAAAGCUCCCUAUCUAUUACACGAUCAAUUCAUUUAUAGGAAAUUAUCCUAACUAACUUAUUUCCGUAGCUAAUAAACAAAUGACACGUGUGGUAGGAAUCUCAGGUUGUUUGGAUUCCAGUUCUCGUACAGAAAGCAUGAACCCAGAAUGGGCGUGCUUCCUUGGUCGCGCCUUUGUUGCUUCUCCCGCACCUUCCCCUUUGCUGACUUCGCGCCUUCACUCUUUUGCUCCCAUCCACUUGUCGUUAUUUGUUGGUUCGCGCCUUUCCUUGCCUGUCCUUGCUAUCCCCACGCCUUUCCCUUUGUACUCCCCACGCCUUCUUACCUCCAGCUACCUACUUCAUUACAAAAACGCAUUUUCAGUUUGCGUAUUGGGGUAUUUUGUGUGCAUGGGAUGUGUGGGCUGGGGAAGCGUAGAACAAGAAGAGUUUGAUAUGUUGACAAAGGAAACGAUUGAAAACUCGAGUUUUGUUUCUUAUUUAUGAUUUGAGGUCAUGAUGCAAUAGGUCUAGGCAUUUGAGUGGAAUUUACUUUGAAAUUUCAUUUGGAUGACACUAUAUAUUCAUUUCUUGGUUCAUUUGUGACAAAAAAAAACUCGUACCAUUUGAUAAGUAUACUAGUUUUGGGCAUAAGCUUAAAUUAGUUAUUUGUUUCAUUUGAAGAACCACAUAAUUCUGCUUUCUAGAGCUGAUUGGACAAAAAUUUUACCAUACAACUCCAUAAAUUUUCCACAAAAAAAAAGUCAUCUUCACAUAAUGAAAAUGAAGAUAGGUACAUUUGUCAACUCAAUUGCCAGUGAAGUAUUUAUAAAGGAAAUUUUAAUCUACUUUUUCAUUUCUUUUGCCUUGAUUCUUUUUUGUUUCAAACUUUACAUGUAUGUGUGCAAUAGUCCCCACCGCAGUUUCCUCCUUCCUCUACUCUUCUCCUCUUCUUUAGUCGCAAUAGCAAGCUUCCUCUGUUUUUUGAGCUCCAUAAUCUUCCGAAGAGGAUAGGAUUAAAUUUUUGUCUGAACCUCAUAUUGUAACCAAUUCCAACUAUCAACAGGAAAGAAACAGUAAAUAUUUACUAUUAUCCAAACAUUAAAUGAAGGCAGAACUAACAAGAAAGCACAAAGGAGAUUUUAAGCAUAAAGUGUGUGUGAUUACCAAAUUCCCAAUUCCCAUGAUACUCACCUGCAUAUGCACAAAAUGUUCAAAUGCAGUUUGAAAUUCCCAGUUCCCGUGAGAAAUGGUUGAUACAUGUCUGUAUAUGCACAAAAAGGUUCAAACGCAGUUCAAACGCAGCAAGAUAAAGGAUCAUUCUCCUUGUCUACAAGUAUGAUCUUUUCUCUGCAAUGUGAGUAGGGAAGGCCUGCAACGUGCUUAGUCCCUUCAAUAUAUCAUAUUUGCAAUAGCUGCACAAAGUCAAUCAAGAGCUUGAAUCUCACACUGCAAAUCCCAUCACUAAAUUUUUUCUUUUGACUAGGAAAUUACAUUUGAAAGUUUCUUAUCCUCUAAUCAUGACUAUAUUAAAUUCCAAUUCAACACAUCAUCUUUUAGCUACUAAUUAGAAUCCACCACAGAAAAAGAGGAAGUAACAAAACUUCCAACAAAUUAAUGUAAAAUUCCUCUAUUUCAUUAACAUUCUUUUCCAAAUUUCCCAAAAAAAAUUUGAGAAAAAACCAUAGAAAAUCUCUCCAUACAACCUGGAUAAGCAAGUAAGAGGAAACCUGCUGUGCAGUUAUAAAAAAUUCUCAAAAAAGGCCCAGUUUGUAUUUGAAACAGUGGUUGUAGAGCAUUGAAUCAUCUCUAAUGUCCUAAAUGACUUCUUUCUGAAAUCCAAACAAUAUCAAAAGUUCAUCACCUUUUCUCUUCUAAGCUGACUACUGAGCCAAAAGCUAAAAAUAAUAUGCAAACCUAGUUGGUUCAAUGAUUUUUUUUUUCCAAAUUUGCAAUAACUUGAACUGAAUAUAUCAUAUUUCUUCAACAAUAUAGAGGGUAUAUCAUUAUAAAGCUGGGCAGUCAUAAAAUAUACAAUAGCAGAUGGAUAUUGCUAUGUACUUUCCAAUCUUGCUAGCACAGAUGCUUUCCUCAAUGCAAAGGCCAUGUUUUUUCUACUUUUGUUUUUAUUCAGAUAUGAAAGCUCUCAACUUACACAAUGCCCAUGCUUUUUCAACUCUUAAUACCAUAAAAAACAGAAGAGGAAAAGAGAAUGCAGAGCUAUCCUAAGUGAUAACUUAAAAAACUCCAGCAACAUUAUAACAACAGAAAAGCCAAAAUGUGCCUAAAUAAAUCCGAAAUUGCUGUAAUUUAAAACAAUUAUAAAGCUGCGACUGAGCUCAUGUUGGUACUGAACUUGACUGGUAUAAGUUCACUUAAUUUUCAUCGAUGGGAAAUUGCAUGAGAAGUAUAGCAGUCGACUCUAAUGAAAUCAUAUGACCCUUUAACCAAUUGUUCUAUUCAUGCAUGAAUCUUGGAAGCACAGCUCUCACAAAAGCCGCAAUGAUGAACUGAUAGUCACCAAUAAUUUUGCAAUCCUAUUAUUUAUAUUAAAAAACAGAGUGAAUUUAAUAAUGGAAAAAUCCUACAAUUAAACCACACCUUCCCUAAAAAUCACGAAUACUGAUUUCUAGUUGCUGGACAAAAACCAAUAACAGCAUCCAUUACAACCAACCCAAAGAAAGAAGUUGAUCAUAGCUAAACUUCCGGUAAAUAGCAUUUUUGUGGAUAUAUAACCCCAAGCGCAUCAUUGGGAAGGGCUAUCCGAAAUAAUCUAAUGUAGAAAAUUGCAAGAAAAAGCAAUACCUAUUAUGUGAUGUCAAGGCCCAACAUUGAAUAUCACCACAGUAUUAGAUUUAGAAAUUAAUUUUGAUGCCCAGUAUCCUAUACCGCCUUUGAUUUUUAAACUUUAUCAAAAUACCAAAGUAAAGUUGGGAACUUAGCAAAAUCAUGCGUGAAAAGGCUCAGUAUUCAAUGCCAAGAGGGAGGAAUAGUGCCAUGGCUGCAACCCAGUUGCGUGCAAGCGAGGGGAACUAUUAAAUUUGUUCCCAUCUCAGAUCUGCCAUUCGAGUUGCCCUGCCAUGGAAUGGGUCCAUAACCUCCAUGCCGAAUUCAUAAACCACUACAAAAAUAACAUCAUAGCCGGCAUUAUGAAUUUUGCUAUAACAGAUUCCAUUGGAGGCAGUUUGGAUAUAGAAUUUAGGUUGGAUUAGGAGGGUGAAAGGGAAGAAGGAAAUUUCUCAAAGGGAUAAGCUCAUUAAGAGGAUAGAAGGACAGAGUACAGGAGAUGGUGAAAGCAAGGGGUGGGCGCUCGACGGGGCGAAUUACUCAGAUUAUAGCCGAACAAAAAAAAAAUCGCACAUGUACCGAUUUGACAAUGUUAUUGUACAAAUUUAUGGGUACCGGGCUGACACGGCCCGGCACCCAAGUUUCAUCAAAAUUUUUUCUUUUAUAUCUGGCACCGCCCGGCAGCGGGAAAAUUUUUUUUAAAAGAAAAAACUGUCUACUACCGGGCUGACAAUGCCCAGUAACCAACCAAGGCUGAAAAAGAAAGCUGGCUGCCGGGCUCUCUCUGCCCGGCAGCCAGUCAAAUUGAAAAAAAAAAUUGCAAAGCGCCUGACUUGCAAGAGAACCGUUUGAAACCAAGGGCUUUGCAAACAUGCAAUCUUCCUAUUUGGGCUUUGCAAGGGCUUUCCAAUUGCUAAAUUGGAAAGAGUGAGCAACAUUCGUUGGGAAUCUAAGAGCUGGGAAUGUGCGAAAAAAAAAUUCUAGGUUAUUCCCAACCUUUUUUUUUAACUAACUUAGAUUCCCAAAUAAAUUAACAAAUUCUAUUUUUCUUGUCAUGUCAUGCAAGAGUUUAAACUUAUUGUUUGAAUAUUUCAAAUUUUACAUGAAACGUUAUCAAUACUUAUUCCUUUCUUAUUUUUCAAAAAUAGUUUGAUUGUGAUAUCACUCCAGAUACUCAUUGGAAAAAGGCCAACUCUACUAUGUGGAGACGGACGAAGAAGUAUAUUCGGGCACCGGAGAAAGUGAAUUAUGCAUGCAUCAAAAAUAUUAUAUAUUUUAAAAUCACAAUAAAAGUUCUCUUAAAAAUUUAUUCAUCAUCUAAUGUCCAAUACUUAUAUUCGAUAAAUUAAAAUAGUUAAUUAAAUAUUCUAUUAUAAUAUAAGUAACUAUAUAUUAUUGAGUCGAAUGAAUAAUAUUUGCUUUUUUCUUUUUGUGGUAUUUCAACUAGUUGUCUAUUAAGUUUCAAUUGGAAUAAGGAUUUUAUAAUUAUUUAAAUUAUUCAAUAAAAUUAUCAAUUUAAGAUGAACAUAAAUAUAAAUACAUUAAAUUGUAUUACUGAAAUAUUUAAUUUAAUAUGAAGGAAAGACAAGAUGAAAUAGCAAGAAAUUUUUUAAAAAUUCAUAUAAGUACUUUAUAUUAGUAAUCACAUUUAUUUGUUAUUAUAAUUAUAACACCUGAUCAUAAUUGAUUGAAACUCAUAUCCUAAUAUUAUUUACAACUAAAGUUACUAUAUACUGAAAUUAAAAUUUUCUUUUUUGCACUAAAUUUUCUUUUAUAUUUACGCCUCAAUUAUUUAAAAUAUGAAAUUCAAUUAAAAAAUAAAAUGUACCACAAUAUUUGUUUUGACAUAUACAAAAUUCACUAAAUAAUGUUAAAAAUUUCAAAUAUGAUCCAAUACAACAAUUUCGCCCUUAUUUUUUUUGUCCACUUAUCUGCUACGUACUAACUUUCUUUUUUCGUUCAGCUUUUUUGCUUCACGGGAGCUGCCAGCCUUCUUCCUUUUUUGUCCACAACCAUGCUUUGCAAUUUUGGUUCACUAACUUCCCUUUUUUGGUUCAGCUUUUUCUUUCUUUCCGCUUUGCAAUUUUUUUUUUAAAUAACUUGACUGGCUGCCGGGCAGAGAGAGCCCGGCAGCCAAUAGCUUUUAAAAAAAAAAAAAAAUUCCCGCUACCGGGCUGUGUCGGCAUAGAAGUAAAAAAAAAAAAAAAUUUUAUUCAAGCUUGGGUACCGGGCCGUGUCAGCCCGGUACCCAUAAAUCUGUCCCAAACCAUUGUCAGAUUGGUAUAUGUGCGAAUUUUUUUUGUUCGGCCAUAAUCUGAGUAAUUGGCCGCUUGACGGAGAAUGCAAAGAAUAUAGGGUCUGUUUGGUUGGAAGUAAAAUGUUUUCCUUGGAAAAAUAUUUUCCGUGGAAGUAAUUUUUCAUGAAAAUCAUUUCCCUCUCAUCAUUUUCAGGUGUUUGAUUAGUUUAUUGAAAAUAUUUUCUUACUUCAUUUUUCUGGUGUUUGUUUAACUUUUAAAAUAUUUUUACUUUUAUCUCUAUCUUUACUUUCUACACAUUAUAACUACAUACUUCUUCCCAUGCAAAAUAAGAAAAUUUAUCUCAUUGUUUAACUUUUAAAAAUCUUGGAGAAAUGUAUAUAUGAAUAAAAAAUAUCUCCUUAAGCAAUAAACAAAUUGCUGGCCAUUUAGUGUCAAAUAUCAAUCAUAUGCAAUGCUUAUUGUGACAUAUAUCUUGCACUGUCACCGCUAAAAGUUCUCUAGACAAGAAUGUCCCUAUUAUACAUAAUUAAUUACUAGCAUAGGAUGAGCAGGAUGAAAUUUUUUUUUAUUUUGAAUAUACUAGGGGGAGGGUUGGGUGGUAUGGGAAAGGGAGUGUAAGGAAGAGGUCUUGGGUUCGAAUCCUCCUGUUUACACUAAAAAAAAAAAGAACAUACAACAAGAUGUUUUCAGUAAGUUUGGAACAUAUUACAGGCGGGAUGCAUGCAUUUCGAAAAACAACUUCAAUAAGUUUGGAAGGGAAGUUGUUUUCCAUAAGAUGAGUGAAAAUAUUUUACAUAGGAAAAUAUUUUCAGUAACUUUUGUGCAACCAAACACGGGAAAUUAGGAAAAUAUUUUCCUGGAAAACAUUUUCACUCAAAACAAACGGACCCAUAAUCGCUGCCAUCAGGUACUGUAUCUGAAAAGCGCGAAAAAACACGUGGCAUCUCAGCCCAUGACAGCAAGAAUGAAAUGGCAAUAUCAAAGCAAAUUUCUUUCCCGUGAUCGUGAGGCAUUAGUUUCUGGGUUUAAGGUCCAUGAGUGGCCGGUUCUAUUACCAAUUGGCUGAACGUGGUUGCUUUGUGGGUCCCAUCUUAGAUUGCUCGUUUGGGCUAUUCUUUGAUGUUCUCCGAGUAUUUAAUCUAAUUGUGUACGUGGAUUCUUGAUCAUUUGUGAGAAAAAAACCACUUGUGUGGCGAGGUUGUGCUCGGGGGGAUAGGGGCAUCCCGUCCCACAUCGAAAGAUCGUGGGGCAUUAGUCUCUGGGUUCAAGAUCCAUGAGUGGCCGGUUCUGUCACCAAUUGGCUGAACCAGGUUGUUUUGUGGAUCCCAUCUUAAAUUGCUCGUUUGGCCCGUUCUGCGUGGAUUCUUGAUCAUUUGUGAGAAAAAAAAAAGGCAAAUUUCUUUCUGUUGACCAAAAGACGCUCAAUUAAUGGAGCAGAAAAUCGAGAACGCCCUUUAAAGACCACGGAAUCACGUUGAAACCAGACGAAAUUAUUGCCCCUCAUAAAGUCAAUAUUUACGUUGAAAUCGGACGAAAGUCACUUUUCAAAAGAAGCAUUGACGCUUUAUUUGUAUGUUAUGAUUUAAGGAAUAUGCGAAAGCGCCCCAAGCCAGUGGCCAUUUGGUCCACUAGUCAUCACCAUCUUUGGUGAUGCUGGAGAUCAAGGUUCAACCCCUACCUCCCACAAAAAAACUUGUCACUUUGGGUCUGUUUGGUUGGAAGUAAAAUAUUUUCCUUCGAAGUAAUUUUCAUGAAAAAUUACUUCCCUUUCAUGAAAAUUUUCCGUUGAAGUAAUUUUCCAUGAAAAUCAUUUCCCUUUCAUCAUUUUCAGGUGUUUGAUUAGCUUAUUGAAAAUAUUUUCUUACUUCAUUUUUCUGGUGUUUGUUUAACUUUUGAAAUAUUUUCACUUUUAUCUCUAUCUUUACUUUCUACAUAUUAUAACUCAUACUUCUUCCCAUGCAAAAUAAGAAAAUUUAUCUCAUUGUUUAACUUUAAAAAAUCUUGGAGAAAUGUAUAUAUGAAUAAAAAAUAUCUCCUUAAGCAAUAAACAAAUUGCUGGCCAUUUAGUGUCAAAUAUCAAUCACAUGCAAUGCUUAUUGUGACAUAUAUCUUGCACUCUCACUGCUGAAAGUUUCUCUAGAAAAGAAUGUCCCUAUUAUACAUAAUUAAUUACUAGCAUAGGAUUAGCAGGAUGAGAUUUUUUUUUAUUUUGAAUAUACUAGGGGGAGGGUUGGGUUGGGUUGGGUGGUACGGGGAAGGGAGUGUAAGGAAGAGGUCUUGGGUUCAAAUCUUCCUGUUUACACUAAAAAAGAAAAAAAAAAGAACAUACUACAAGAUGUUUUCAGUAAGUUUGGAACAUACUACAGGCGGGAUGCAUGCAUUUCGGAAAACAAUUUCAGUAAGUUUGGAAGGGAAGUUGUUUUCCAUAAGUUGAGUGAAAAUAUUUUACAUAGGAAAAUGUUUUCAGUAACUUUUGUGCAACCAAACACGGAAAAUUAAGAAAAUAUUUUCCUGGAAAAUAUUUUCACCCAAAACAAACGGACCCUUUAUGUGGCUGGUCUUCUGCCCCCACGGGAUAGCUCGAACGGUCCGCUCCCCCUCCUUAGGGUAUGGCGACCUUCCUGACUUGUCCAGGGUUCGAAUCCCGUUGUUAACGUGCUCGGAGUGGAGUGGGGCCUCCUCUCCCGGGUCGCAGGGGAUUAGUCGGACCCCGUAAGGAUUGACCCGGACACCCUUGUGUUGACAAAAAAAAAAAAAAGGGAAAGCGCCCCAAAAAAAAAAAAAUCUUGUUCUCUUACACUUUUUCAAGUUCAUAUUUUUAGGUAGUAUCCCACUGAGAAAACUAAAUUUUCAUCAUUCAAAAGUCAGAUUUUCUCCCAUAACUAUUGACAAUUUUUAAUUUGUUUCAGCCCGGGGACUGAUUUCAGACAAUUUAGGAAUAAAAGUACAUAAGCAUGAAUUUCACAAAUUAAACUGAGUAUUGGGAUUGAGGGAGAGGCAAGUUCUUUUGUGUCCUUUUUUUUGUGUAUAUUAUGUUGUUUAGUUUAGUGCCAAAUAUUGGUCCAAGAUGUUAAAGCCACUCUUUCUAAGCAAAGAUGCUAGGAUUUAACUUUUAUGUUGUCUUUGAAGCACUCAUGUAGUAAGAUUUUGUAGUAACAUUGUACUAAAAUUAGUAAAGCCAGAAAAUAAGAAGGAAACAUAAGAGUUGUUUUAUUUAUUCUGUUUUCAUAAAUAUAAAUAAUAGCACUAAAAUAGUUUAAGAGAAAUUGAUUUUUUAGAGUUUGAACGUCUUGCCUUAAAACCACCCAUUGAGAAAUUAGUCACAUAUAUGCACACCUUUGUUUCCUCAAAAUAAUCUUUUGUUUCUUCAUUGCAAGUGUGGCAGUCCUGUUUGGAUUGCUAUUUUUAUGAUUUUUAUAUAAAAAAAUAUAUUAUAGUAACUUGAUAUAUGUGAGGCAAAAAUGUGGUUGAAAAAUGUGUUUAAAAAAUUUUUUUGAUAGAAAACCAUAAUCUAAGCACUUUUACAAAACAAUUACAAAUUUGAUACCAAUGUAUGUUGGAGGGGUGGGCAAAAUGGUCCCUUUUAGUGUGUAUUUUAUGCAAAAAAAAAAAAUGUAGUUCCAAAGUUUGAAAGAUGAACCAAUCUGGACCCUUAUAUUUGGACACAAUUAAUCUAGUUCCUGAUUUUCCCCAAAUUUAAUCAUGGGUAGAUUUCUAUAUGCUCCCAUUGUGGUUUCACAUUAUACCACUUAUUCCCUUUUGUUCAAUAGUAUUAUUCAAUUUCUCUAUAUUUUAUAAAAAGUGAACAAAAAAAGACGUAAAAGCAAUUCCAAUUAUAUUAAGGGAUAAUUUUAGAAACAUUCCCUGAGGUUUCUAACGAUUUCACUGGUCUCUCAUGAGAUUUGUAAAAUUACACUUAUCUCCCUUAGUAGAAUGGUGGGCCCAAUUAUAUCACAUGGGAAAAAUUACUCAUAUACCCUAAGACAUUAUGUCUUAUAGAAACUAAUAUCUAAUGAUUGAGUAAUUAGAUCACUAAUUAACUAUAAGUAACUAAUUAAUGAAAAUAAUUGUUGAAAUUUUCUUUAAUGAUGAAUAGUGACUUGCAAUUGUAAGAUAAGGCCAAUUGAUAUACCAGAUGGUGCUAUUUUGUGAUUGAUAGAACUUGACAAUAAUUAAAAUCUAGUUAUACACAAUGUGAGAAGAAGAGCUUUGGUAAAAGGAAAAACAUAUGGCAAAAGAAGAUUGUUCAUGGAAAUUUUUUUUUUUAACUCUUAAAACUAUAAUAGUUAUAAAGUAAUUUCAUGGAAAUAAAGAAGAAAUAAGGGAAAAGAAAGGCGAAAUUUAAAAUUUUUUUCUGUUCAUAAUCACAAGAAUUAUAGUAAAACCUAAUGUUAAGAGUGAUGACCGGUCUAUUAUACUAAAUCUUAUGAUCAUUAGUAUAGUUUUAUUGUUUAUUUGUGUUGUCUAAUGUGUUGAAUGUGAACUUUUUGAAUAGUGAAAUGUAUGUAUUAAUUAUUUCUAACUUUUAAUUUUUUUAUGCUUUUACUAAUACAACUUAUAUACAUGUAUAAGGGGUAUUUAUGGGAUAAAAGUUUCAUUUUUCUCCUUAAAGUAUUUUUAAAUGUUACUUUUUGUGAUUUGGAUUAAUUUGUUACUAAAACAUUAAUCUCAAGGGAGGUUUGUGCAAUUUUACAAACCUCAAGGGAAGUAGUGAUAUUGUCAGAAACCUUAGGGGAGGUAGGGGAGGUUUCUGAAUUUAUCCCUCAUAUUAAUUGAUGCAAACAUGUUUCAAAAACGCGUGUGAGGCAUGAAAUAUAGAAUAUCCACCCAACCCCACAGUGAUUUCACAUUCGACCACAUGAUCUUCCUAUGAUUUUAGGUAAAGUGGUUAGGAUCUUGUUAUAUUUCAUAUUUAAAUAAGAACUUAAUUGAAAUUUUAACGAAUGCCGUUACUAGAUGUGCUUUUUUUUUGUUAUAUUACUAGAUGUGCUUCGAAUCAAUUUUACAUCUAAAACUACAGGGGAUAAGUAUAUGUUAAAACAUAACUAGUGGACUGAUUAUGUGGUCGAAGGCGAAACAAAUGGGGGGUAAAUAAUAAUUUACAAUUCAAUUAAUGUAACACAAACCAACCCAACAUGGUUGUAACUAGUGUUUAGCUAACUUGAUAACUAGCUCUCGAAUGGCACUUGUGAAUUCUUGAAAAGUUGCUUACACCAAGGCUAUUGAUUGAAUUAGGGACUAGAUCCCUCUUUAUUGUGUUGGAGAGAACUUCUCUAUUACACUAAUAAAAUUAAUUUAGAACUUUUAUUUUUUAAAGUUAGCACCAUUUAUAAUGUACUUCAUCACUAGUAGUUAUAUACAAAAAUUGGUUUGAACAACAAAGAAUAGGUCAAAAUCCUAACAAAAUUUGUAAUGAUGAAUAAUAAGAGACUUAAUAUUUGAAACAAAAGUGAGAUUUUAGUCAAUUCUCCAAAGAUUAGGGACCAAACUCGCAAUUCUCCCUUGCUUUUAUAGUACUACAACUCCACAAGGGUUAGUGUUAAGCGAAGAGAAAUUGUACGCAAAUAAAAAGAUUGAUAAACGUCACAAUCUUAUCUGCACAAGGCAAAGCAAAGGUAAUAUUCAUCCACAAUUCAAUAAAAGAAACUCGAUAUUUAUAGUUUCAUAUGUAUUUUAAAUUUUUCCUGUCACUGUAAACUGCGUUUGUCCUUGACGGGUCACCAUUUUAUUCCACGUCAACAUGUCAUGGUUAAAAUCUGGAAACCUUCUAUAGCCUUUAUCCAUUAUCCAAAAAAAUAUAUAUAAUUAGUAAAAAACAAAAAAGUUUACAUUAACUAAAAUUUCCUUUAGUGAUUAACAAGAUAGAGAGUGAUUAAAAAAAAUGAAAAAGAUAGAGAGUGAUUAAAACUCUCACAAAGUUUUACAUAAAUUGAUCUCUCAUAAACAUCAAGGUCGAUUCUUAAAUCACUGAAAGGAUUCAACUCUCACAAAUUUUUAAUAUCACCCAAAUUGCUGAAAUUUCAACAACUGCUUGAAUCACAAUACAGACAUGCAUAAAAGCCUUCUAUUUGUUUCAUAGCAUGUGAUUGGGUAAUAGCAACAAAGUUAUUCCUCAAACACUUCCUGGGGCACUGCUUUAUUUUUCUUCAAGUUUUUCGAUAUUUAUUUCUUUUUAAAGGCAUUCUCCCAUGAUUUAGAGUCGAUCGGAUUUUAGAAUUUCUAAUAAGAAGAGAUUCAAAGGGAGUUGAAAGUUACGCUCACUAGACAAUUAGAUUGAAGGGGGUAAUAAAAAAAUUUUUAUCGUUGAAAGUGAUUAAUUGUUAUAAUGUUCAUGUAUGUAAAUAAUUUUAUCUCAAAAUCUAAAUAAUUUUAUAUAAUAUAUAUUUCAUUUCGAACUGGAUUGAUAAUCUGUUGAAAUGUACAAAGAAAAAAAAGAAAGAAAAUAUAUGUUAGCUUGUCAAUCUAAUUUACAUCUAAUAUAAUUGAGUGUUUAACAAUUAAUAUAUGUGAAAGAAAAGGAGAGAACUCAUGAUCAAAGAAACUAGUGGCAUUAUAAAACAAAGAAAAUAAAAAAAAGAAGUAAAAGAAAUUUAAACAGUAUUUGUAAUACACGUCUAAAAACAAUUUUGAUCUAAUUUAUUUAUCUUUUUAUUUAAAACUCUUAAUAAUAUUACUUAAAACUUAAGAAACUAUAACAAUUCAAACUCUAAAUAAAUGCAAAGUAAAACUGUUGGCUAAAGGUAAACUGAUUUUGACCAUGAGAAUUAUUGAAUUAUUGUCUAGUCAUAAAUUUGAUAAAAAAAAAGGAUAAAUUUUGGAGACCAAAUUUAUUUUGAUCAAAACAGUUGGGCCUAAUACUGGAUCAGAAAACUGAACUUCUCCAAGUAAAGAUGUUCAUUUCAAGUUUACAGUUUGAUAUGCAUUUUAGGUAAUAUUGACUUUUUCUUUGGUUCAUUUCAAGAGGACGGGGUGCAAAUGUCAUUUCCUAUUGUCGUCAAAUGUAUAAUAGAAACCAUUACGUGGAAUCUGACAAUCAUAGCUUCAAAACACUGGUGAAUCCAUUAACGACUGUUAAAAAUUACAACAUUUUCUAUAUAUGAAAGAUUUGGGAUUGCAGCUUGACCUGCAAUUACAUCACCACAACUCUGCCGGAGGGUUCCGAAUUCCAAACUUAUUUAUUCAAAGUCAAAGGUUAUCGGACCAGUGAGGCUGUUAUUACCCAAGUCUAAAUAGUCCAGACCUUCCAAAUGAUACAAUGACCUUGGAAUGCUUCCAGUGAAGUUAUUGCUGUUGAGGUUGAUGUGAUACAAGACUAGGUAAUUCAUCCAACAGUCAGGAAUUUCUCCUGAUAGAGAAUUCUCCCGAAGAUCCAGAUAUUGAAGAACUUGAUUUUCAUUCUUCACUUCACACAAAAUGUGAGAGAUGCCUCCUGAAAAUAAAUAGUUGGAAAUUAAGUUCUAAAUAUGUCAAUCAAUGAUAAAUUAAU